RNAcentral lists this long non-coding RNA (67288 nucleotides) under Eucalyptus grandis. RNAcentral's name for it is "long non-coding RNA (EGRA_LNC001229)". Lineage: Eukaryota; Viridiplantae; Streptophyta; Magnoliopsida; Myrtales; Myrtaceae. The record is from RNAcentral.
AAAAAGAAAACACAUUACGGCCAAUAAAAAUACACAUUCUUUAGUGCACAAAAGCCUAUGAAAGUAGGUUAACAAAAAGUUACAAUUACGCAAUCACAUUAACGACGUGCAUCUAUAUUGGGAAUUUCAUUAGUCUUUCUUUUUACCUUUAGGUAUUGUCCUUUCACUAUACACCCUUUUACAACUCCAUACGGAUGUCUCUCUAUUUCCCCAAUUAUCACUUUAUUUGCAUGUUGCGUGACCAAAACUUUCCAGAAAUCCACAGUUUGCUAGAGAAGAAAGAAAUUGAGUAAGGGAAGUUGAGCUUGACUUUUCAAUUUUGCAGAUUCAAGCUCGAAAAGAUCAACACUACUCUUAAGAUAAGCGCACUGGUCAAUCAGUCGUCCUUCAAUUUGCGCCAGUUGAAUAAUAUCAAUUAUCGAGCAGGUAGUCUUCUAUCUAUUAGAGUUUCUAUUUCCAUCCCAACAGUUUUACUUUUCUUACUUAUAUCAUAGCGUCAUUUGAAUUUUUACAUCAAUUGCAAAGAGCCAACAAUGAAAGAGAAUGAUUGCUUCUUUCACAUUUUUGCAUGCGCAAUAGCAUGGUAAGUUUUGGUACGCAUGAUUGCAAGACCAAAAUUAUUGUCUCUUGGAAUUGAGUGAGAUUAAAAUUAAAUAAUCCUGACGAUCAAAUACUUUAACAAAUUAUGUUCAUGUAUUUCCUUUGUUCUUUAUCAAUUUUUGCUAUAAAGGAAAAAGAUUCGUUUGGUGCCGGUUUGCCAUGAGAAUCUAGAUACAAAUCAGCCUGAUCUUACGAAUUUGUAAGCGCAUUUGUGCAUUCACCUGUUCAUGUAAAAAUCUCUGAAUUGUUAUACCAGGUUGGCGAUCAUUACUAUUAUUUUCCUAUUUUUCCAUUCUCUCAUUUUUUUUUUCUUCUUCUCUUGUUAUCCUCUUUUAUGAAUUAAGGUUCUAUUUAUUUUGCAAAAAUAAAUAAUUUAAAAAAUAUUUUCUUAAAAAUAAUCACUUAUAUCGAUAAAAAAAAUUAAUUAACAAAAUAUAUUAUCAUUAUCUGCAAAAAUAUUUAGACAUUAAUUAUUGUCUAAAAAAACCUUUUAUUGACUAAUUAUACAACAAUACAAGCAAUUAUUUUUUAAGAUAAUAUUUUCCAAAUUAUUCAUUUUUUGUGAAACAAGCAAAGCCUAAAUAUUGAUUUUUUUCUUCGCUCCUAUAAUCCUAUCAAAUCCAACAUCUAAUAUCUAACAAGAGUAUUUUAUUUUCAAUCUUCUUCUUGUCCAUGUAUGGGCGCCUGAAAGGCUCUAUAAGUCCUUCCGAAGAAAGGCUCGCUCAUUACACAAUAAAGGUGGAUAUUGAACUACACUAAGUGCAAAUAAAUUGAAAACAAGUAAGAUAUAGUUUCUUUCACCUUUCACCAGUCCGUCACUUACUUCCUUCAGUCAUUUAUUUUCUUAAUUUUGAUCUUUACUUUUCAAUUUUUCAUUAAAAAUUACUUCAUAUAAACACGUGCAAAAUCAUGUUUGAAUUGUUACUUCUCUUUUUUUUUUUUUAGCUGUAAUUUACUGUUUUUUGAUUUUGCACAAUAUUCAUUAAUGCUGAAUUACGUGCUCAAAAUAGCCAUGUUUAGAUCCGUGCACAACACGGGUACAAACACCAGCAUAAUAUACGAAAGCAGGGUUAAAGUAGCCUUAUGUUAUUGCAUCACGAGUGGAAAUACUAUUAGUUCUCACCUUUCGUAGGAAUAAACAUGAUCGAUCCACGAACACAUGCAAAGCUCAUAAAUAAACCAAAUACCUUAAUUAUGCCACUUAGUCUUCCAACAUUAUAUUAUUUAAUUUGUUAAUUUAACUAUAACUUGGUCUAAAUGACAAUAAAUCAAAAUCAAAAUUUGCAAUUUAAAUUUUAAUUUGAAUUUUUAAGGUGUAUUAGUCCUAUAAGUGACAAAAUUAAUUCUUGUUUUCCAUUAAUUAUAGAGUGAGAGUAAUCCAACCAUGUAGUGCUGUUUCAAGUUAGCAACUGAGCAGUAACGCCUCUCGAUAUGCAGAGUCCUUUCCUCUCAACUUGUAGAGUUCCUUUACCCAUGGCCACUCGUGGAAAUUGAAACCCUAACCCCACAGUUCACUUCGAUUUUCUUCGCACGCUUUUUUUUUUCUCCUUUAAUCGUCAUCUAGGUCGGUCUUGUUCUGCUUCUCUUCCGAAUCGCGGUGUUCGUGACAACUGAGAUUGUAUCCAGAGGUGAUGGCGGUCCGUUCUUGACGAAGAAGCCUUCCCUUCGUGCAUUCUCCCUCAGUCUCACUUGGGCGGUCUUAUUCUGUUUAUAUUCCGAAUCGCGGUGUUCGCGAGAGUUGCGAUUGUAUCAAGAGCUGAUGGCGGUCUGUAUUUGACGAAGAAGUCUUCCCUUCAUGCCUUCUCCCCUGUUUCACUUGGUUUGUUUCACAGUUCCGUUAUCUUCCCCUGUUUUUCUUGUCAUCUUAUGAGACUUCGAUCAGCGAUUAAUAUUUCAUGUGGGGUCUUCGCAUCUCUGCGACUUUACCUGAUUGUCCCUUACUGUGCGACUCCACUUAGUUGGCCCCUCUUUCUUUACUUGCUGUUCUCUUUGCGUCAUGGACUCUGAAGAAUAAAGUGACUCUGAUCGCCUUGCUGCUCUCUGUUCAAGAUUGGGGAGACUUACCACAGAGAAGAAUAUAGAUUGCUGGAACGAACAACCAUCACCUGCAAAAUUGGUGGAAUGUAACUUGAUGUUGGUGUGCAAAAUUUUGUCAGACCCUAUCGUAAAUUUCCCGGCAUUCCAGAGUACAAUUAAGAAGGCAUGGAGAAUUGACCGAGUUGAUAUCACACAACGUGAAGAGGGACUAUACGUAGCUAAAUUUCACUCUCUUGCAGAUAAACAGCGUGUUCUUGAUGGUGGUCCUUGGCUCUUUUCGGGUCAUCUAGUAAUUGUAAAGUCAUGGCAGUCUAAAACUCCCUUGCACUGUUAUGAUUUUUCCAGAUGUGCUUUUUGGGUUCAAAUAUUGGGAUUUCCUUUGGAAUGGACUACUGAACAGACUAUUAUUAAGGCUGUGCAAGAUCUUGGACGGGUAAUUGAAGUGAGAGUUGAUACUAAAGAGGGCAUGAUCUCUAGGACUGCUAGGGCAAAGGUUGUUCUGACAAUACAGGAUCCCUUAAGGACAGGUAAACUCAUUCGCAUUGAGGGCAAACUAUUCUGGCUUGACUUUCGAUACGAGCGACUUUCUCAUUUUUGUUACUCCUGUGGAAGGUUGGGUCAUUAUGCUAUGUCUUGUAGAGAGAUCCCCUAUGAUGAGUCAAAAUUUGAAGGACAGGAUACCAUGGUUUAUGGUCCAUGGCUGAAAGCAGAAACUAAACAAGCUAGUCCUUACUGGCAAUCAUUUUAUAACCCUCCACACUCCACGGAUGAGUCAGUAGAUAGUAUACCCGAGACGCCUCCUUUCCCAACUCAUGCUCUUGCCCCCACCACUCGUUACUGUUGUUGCACCAAAGAAUACCUCAGUACUUCCUUCAGACAAGCAAGUUACAACACUUGCACAUCAUGAAAAUCCUGAGAUCUUGAUAGGGACCCAACAUCAUACAGCACUCAUUCCAGCAACAGCUAAAUUGAAGGGGAUUUCUACCCUGCCUAGUGUUGGACCUGGUUGUUCUAUCCAGUCUGAUCCAAUACCUGACACAGCACACUUACCAAGCUCUCAGGCUCAGGAAUCUCUGUCUGUUCAAGCUAAGAAGUCCAAGGUUUCUCGUCCUGCUCCAAAGAUAGGACCUGCAAAAAAGAUAAGGCGUUAUAACCCUUAUGAUUUAAAGGGUGCUGGUCCCCCUAGUUUUGAUGAAUCUGUGCUUCUUGAUACUCCCAUUUUGGAAGCAUCUCAAGCUGACUUAUGGGUGACAGUGGUUGGCCCUCAAUAGCCACCACCUCAUCGAUGAAAAUUCUGAGUUGGAAUUGUCAGGGGUUGGGCAAUCCCCUGACAAUUCAAGCGCUUAAAGCCCUGGUGGCUAAAGAAAAGCCUAACCUUCUUUUUUUGAUGGAGACCAAACAGAGUGAGGUCUUUCUCCAACGUUUACACCACAGCCUCCAUUUUGAUAAUCUUCGGGUGGUCAGUUCGGUGGGUUCAGCUGGGGGUUUGGCUCUUUUUUGGAAUGACAGCCUCUGUUUGACUUCGCUUCAAUCGACCCCUUCUUUUUUUGACUUCUUCUGUCAUGAUUCUGAGGAUGACAACAACUGUCGUGUUACUUGUCUACAUGCUCCGGCGGUAUAUCCCCUUCGGAGGCUUUUCUGGCAAGAGCUGUGCAUGAUCAGCUGUGAGAAUCAUGCUCCUUGGGUUUGUCUAGGUGACUUCAACAACAUCCUUUACCCAUGGGAGAAGGUGGGCAAAAGACCAGCAGAUUUAUCCCGUAUGUCUUCAUUUCGUGCUGUCCUAACUGACUGUGCUCUAACGGACAUUGAAUCAAAAGGGUGUGCCUUCACUUGGUAGAAUAAUCGAGAUGGGGAUGAACUUGUUAGAGAACGACUUGACAGGGUUUUAUGUACUUUGAACUGGCGAUUAAAGUUUCCUUCAGCAGAAGCUUAUGCUCUCCCUGCUGUUGCCUCCGAUCACAGUCCCCUUCUAUUAUCUACUAUCGCUUCUAAAAAGCGAAGUCAGAGGUUUUUUAGAUAUGAAGCAUUUUGGAAUGAGGACAAAGACUGUCGCCAGAUUAUCAAAUCUUCCUGGCAUUCGGGUUCACUGGUGAAUUCGAGCCUCUCUACCAAAUUACGCCUAGUUGCUUAUGCUUUGCUUCGGUGGAGUCGUCUCAAAUUCGGGAACAACCAUACUCGCAUCACUGAAAUUCAGCAGCAGCUUCUACAAAUCACUAACCAGUCUAUGCCUCCUUAUGACAAAUCCAAAGUUAUGGCUUUGAAAACUGAAUUACAUAAUGCAUGGCAGCGCGAAGAACAGUUUUGGGCCAUGAGAUCUCGUGUACAUUGGCUGAAAUGGGGGGAUCGAAAUUCACAUUUUUUUCACGCAACUACAAUCCAGAGGUGACAAAGAAAUAAGAUUACGAUGCUCAGGGAUGAAACGGGGGAUUGCGUCAGGGAUCCUAGUCGGCUUCAGGAGAUGACAACUUCUUUCUUCUCAUCAUUACAUACCACAGUCGGAGCUCGCAACUUUGAACCUAUUUUAGAUCAGUGUCCUACAGUGGUGACGCCAGCCAUGAAUAACGCUCUAACGUCAUUGUUGACCUUGGAAGAAUUGAGACUAGCUACGUUUCAGCUGGGAGCAACCAAAGCUCCUGGUCCUGAUGGGCUAACUGAUCUUUUUUAUAGGACUCAUUGGGAUAUUAUCAAGGAUGAUUUCUUCAAAGAGGUUCAGCAUUUCUUUCUCUCAGGCCGUUUCCCUUUAACCUUAAAUAAAACAGUUAUUACUUCGAUCCUAAAACUCCCUCACCCUGAGAGUCUUGAUCAAUUUCGCCCUAUUAGUUUAUGCAAUUAUGCCUAUAAGGUUAUCUCUAAAGUGCUUGCAAAUAGACUGAAACCUCUGCUACCAUCUCUAAUUUCUGAGGAACAAUCUGCUUUUAUGGGUGGGCGCCAGAUACAAGAUAAUAUCUUGCUAGUACAGGAGGUUUUACAUCAACUUAGAUCUAAAAGGAGGAAGCACAAAUUUCAUGAUGUCGUCAAGUUGGAUAUGCGGAAGGCCUAUGAUAGAGUGGAAUGGGACUUUUUACAUGCUUAUCUACUUAAGUUAGGCUUUCAUCCAUUAUGGAGUACUCUGGUUAUGCAGUGUAUCACCACUACAUCUUUCUGUAUCAACAUGAAUGGCGAUCAGCUUAGGCCCUUUCAUCCUACCAGGGGCCUUCGCCAAGGAGAUCCUCUCUCCCCAUACCUUUUUAUCCUUCUAUCCAAUCUAUUAUCAUCUCUUAUUCAUAAUGCACUCGAUAUGGAGACACUCAAAGGUAUUAAACUCAACAGAUGGUGCCCAACUCUUUCACACCUUCUUUUCACAGACGAUGCAAUUUUCUUUGUAGAAGGAUCAGUUCGGGAAUGUCAAAAUUUAUCAAACCUGCUGAAUUAAUAUUGCUUUGCCACGGGCCAAGAGGUGAACCGCAACAUAUCUGGUAUAUUUUUUAGUAAAUCUUGCCCUACUUCUCUACAGGAAAAUAUGGCUAAUGCUAUUAGAGUACCUAUACUGCAACGUUGUGGGAAAUAUCUUGGUAUACCAUCUAAUUGGGGUAGGUCGAAAAGGGAUAUGUUCUCUUGGACACUAGCUCGAGUGAAUAAUAGAUUGGAAGGUUGGAAGGAAAACCUUUUCUCAAAGGCGGGGAAAGAGAUUAUGUUAAAGGCUGUAGUACAAUCCAUACCACAAUAUGCCAUGUCCAUAUUUCGACUACCCAUUUCUCUAUGUACCUCUAUUGAACAAAGAAUUGCGAAAUUUUGGUGGCAGAAUGAUAAACAACGAGCAGGCAUACAUUGGCGAAAUUGGGAGGUACUAAAACAGAGAAAGGCAGCUGGUGGUUUAGAGUUUUGGGAUCUCCUCAGUUUUAAUUUAGCCAUGCUGGGUAAGCAAGCAUGGCGACUACUUCUUCAGCCAUCCUCCUUAUGGGGUAGAGUUUUUAAAGGAUUAUAUUUUCCAACCACACGGUUUGAUGAGGCAGAAAAAGGCUCUCGCCCGUCAUGGGGCUGGCAGAGCCUUUUGAGUGGACGUGAUGCAAUUUUUUCCCUAUGUUUGCUGGUCAGUAGGAGAUGGGAGUUCCAUCAGAAUUAGGGAAGAUAGGUGGUUACCUAUAGGCAAAUUAACAGGACCUCCUCAACGAGAAGAGCCCACUUUAGUGGCUGAUCUUAUUGAUCACUCUACUAGCACAUGGAAGUACUCUCUACUCCACAGAUUUUUUGACUUCCAGGUAGUUCACUAGAUUGCAUCUAUUCCGGUACGACCUAGAUUUUCCAUGGAUAAACUUAUUUGGACUGCUACUUCUAAUGGCGACUACACAAUUAAAUCAGCAUAUCACAAUAUCAAACAUUCAGCAGAGCUUAAACUCAAUUGCGCACCCUCAUCCUCACAUCAACAUCCAUCUUUACUAUGGCACAAAUUGUGGAAAAUGCACAUCGCUCCUAAGGUACGACACUUCUUGUGGUUACUAUGUCAAAAUAGUUUAGCAACAAGAGUUAAUCUGCAUCAUAGGCAUAUUAUUGACAAUCCAAAAUGCCCUAUAUGUGAUCAAGACACCCCCGGAAACCUUGGAACACUUGUUCCUGUUCUGUCCCUGGGUUUUGCGUGUUUGGAGUAAUCCUUAGAUCAACCUCCCCAUUCAAACUCAGCAUAUAAGGAAUAUCACAACCUGGAUCAUAGAGCAUGCCGGUGAUCAAAAACCCUUACCUGGUCUUCCAAUGAUCGCCACAGUCCUUUGGCACAUAUGGAAGGCUCGAAAUGCAUUUAUUUUUGGAUGAAAACAUCCUGAUCCGCAUCGUGUAGCUGAAGAAGCAAUGCUUCAAUAUCGUGUGGAUUCUACUGUUGCUCGUUCUUCCACCUGCAAAGCUGCUUUUUUUCAACAUCACGGAACUAUAUGGAGACCCCCAGAUCCGGGGGUUUUAAAGUUCAAUAUCGAUGGAUCUUAUCAACUGGGGAGCAGGGAAGGGACUAUGGCUUGUGUGUGUCGUGAUUCGCAAGGACAACUUACUGGUGGCUUCUUAGAUAGCUUUGCUGCCUUCUCGGCUCUGUAGGCGGAGAUCCACGCUUGCUUGCUUGCUCUCCAUCAUUUGAUUGAUCAAGACCUCUCUCAUGUUGCGCUGACUCUUGAAUCUGAUUGCCAAACCCUCAUCGAGACACUGAAGGGUCAACGCUCGCCGCCAUGGCAAGAACGAAGCCUCUUCUCCGAAGCUGCCUUCCUGCUUUCGUUUUUUCCCAAUAUUUCCCUAGCAUUUUGUCGUCGUGAGGCAAAUGUUGUUGCUGACUGGGCUGCGAAGGCCCAUAGGGUCAAUUCCAAGCGAAGUAACUGGGCUUUUUUUCCCCCUCCCCCUCUUUUACAUCUUAUUUACGCUGAUGCGAUAGCUGCUGCUUGUAAUCGGUUUGGUCCAUAAAUAUAAUAGGUUAUGUUUGAAAAAAAAAAAAAGUUAGCAACUAAGCAAUUAUGUUAAUAACAUAUUUAUACGUGUCUAGAUUAUUAAAAUAAUUGAUAGAUUUCAUGAUGCUUCUUCAAUUACGAUGAAAAUAUUACCUGGGUGAUACAAUUAAAACCUUUUUUUUUCUAUCUUACAUUUACAUUAUCAUAUUUCAUUUCCUUUGUAAACAUGCGCAAGAAAUUAUAGAAAACAAAUUGUAUAAAUUAUUUAUACAUAUAAAAUCACUACAUAAGAUCUUAGUACUUGAAUAAAUUCUUGAGUCGAAGCCAAUAAUUAUUAGGUGCAGAUAAUUUUACUGAAAUCCUUACAUUUUGUUCUUAUUCUUUUUGUCAUAAAGUAGAACCUGCAUAUAUUCGAUGAUGAUCAAUGACGAAGUUCCUGUUAUUUGGUCAAAAAAUAUAUAUUAAUUGGCAUAAACUUCUAAAAAACUUAUGCAUUUUAUAGUAUUUUCCGAUAUUAUCUUACUUAAAUGAUAUUUGAAUAAGUAAAUCUCCAAACCUGGGUGACGCUAGGAUGUUCAACUUGUAGGGUAGUAAGAAGCACUGAAGCAGUACAAAACUGCUAGAAAAUGGUGUUAAGACAGCAAAAGAGCGAUAUAGACAGAGCUAAUAAUACCCAAUUUUAAUACCCCUCUUCAGAGCCUUUUUUAUGCAUCAAGAGAUGAGCCGUGGAAUAGUCACGACUGCAAACUUUUCAUGAACUAAAUGCCAAAAUUGAAUGUAGCUUUGCCCAAGAAAAUGCUAACAACAUGUUGACACUAGUCAAAGAUGUAGAAUAAAAGAACAAUAAGAAUGAUACAAGAGGGAUUACCAUUAUAGAACAUGGGAGAGGCCAAAAGUAGACAUGAUUGUUACCUUACUUCGUUGAACUGUUAUGGCUUCCUCGUCCCAUAGUCUGCUACAUUUCCAAGGCUUCUUAUUUGCUGGACAGGCAAUAGCUCUACCUAAAUCUCUCAAGUGAUCAUGCAUUCUCAACUCGUUGUUAUCAUCAAUUUUCACUAACGAAAGUUCAAUCAUUCUUUCCAAUCCGGAAUUUGGGCGAUAUUGGAGAUCCUCCCAUAGAUAGGUGGCAAAUCUUUUGUCGAUUCCAAUAAAGAAGCAUGCUAUGUCUAGAAACAUCUGUUGUUGCUCAUAUUCUAAUGAAUCAUAACUUAUUCUCAACUUUUGUUGUACAUUCGUAUCAGGCACCUUCCUCAAUUUCUCCAGUGUCUCUUUCCAUAUGCUUUGACAUUUUCCUUUGAGAAAUGAACCUAUAAUCACGAGAGCUAAAGGGAAGCCCUCCUGUGGUGUCAACAAUAUCACUAGAAAGAGCCACGAGUUCUGGUGGGGUCUUUUCCUCUUCAAAUGCAUAUCUACUGAACAGAAGCAAAGAGUUUUUGAGAUUCAUUUCUUUGAGUUUAUACCCUUUAUAUUCAGACUUCAAGAGGGCUUAUCUCGACAUGUAAUAAUGAUCCAACUUCCCAAGUCGAAAUCACAAUCUCCAAUCAAAUUAUCAAGAUGGUCUCGACGAUCCACAUCAUCAAGAAGAAUAAGUACCUUCUUUUUUCUACAAAUAAGUCGUAUCGUUUCAAUCCCAGAGAAAUGCUCACUAUGGCCACUUCUUUUUGUUAAGUUUGAUAUAUGUAGAGAUUGGACAUACUUCAUACCCUUGCUUUUAAUUGUUUCUCUAAUAUCAUUGAGAAUGCUAUGGCACUCAAAUUGUUUAGAAAGCUUUGUAUAGAUGAUCAUAGCCAGGGUUGUCUUACCAAUGCCGCCAAUUCCAUAAAUCACAAUAAUUUGAGCUUCAGAAGAAGCAUUAUUGGCUGAUUUCAUGGUUCGACCAUCCCCCAAAUUCACAACCCUAGCCACAUGAUCAUCAAUACUAACCAAGUCCUUAGGAAGAAAUGGUAGAAAAUCAUGUUGAUGCUUAAUCAUUAUUUUUUUGACGAGCUUUUUUACUAAUUCCCCUUCAUGCCUGUCAAACAAUAGAACAAACAACAGAAUAGGUGAGAACUUACCGAUGGCUCCACAAAAUAAGGAUUAAGAAUGAUAAAUAGAAAAUUUGUUCUUCUGACAACGGUAUGUUAAAAUGAGGUAGACGACGUACCCAUUUUUAGCAAAUUUCUCUGAUUUGAUUACUUUACGAUGGACUAAUUCUCGGAGAGCUACCAGCCCUUUUUGCUUGACCUCUUCGUCAAGUUUAUGCUCGUUGCGUCGGAACGCAUCUCCAAAUUUACUGUUCAUGUCUUACACAUCACCGGGUGUCACCUUGUGUUGACACCUAAAUUUUUGCAUAAUUUUUAGGGUUAAUUAUUGCUUUUAAAAAAAAAAACACACACACACACACACACACACACAUGGCAUAUAGUUUAGAAACAUUUUAUUUUAUUUUGUUUUAUUUUAGGCUGCCGAUGAAACGAGGAUUUUUCACAUAUUCCGUUCAGAUUUUUCACAUAUUCAAGUAAUAUACACUGCAGGGUGUAUUUUGCCUGAAAAGGGAAUUUUUCUUGAUGGAAUAUGCGAAAAAACAUUUUAACGAUAUAUUUAGGGAAUCGUGCUCAAUCAAAAUUAGAAAUGAAAUAUAUUCCUAAGAUACAAUUUUUGAGCUUAUAAAAGAGGUCACGUACGGUAAAUUGGGGGGCUUCUUUUGGAAAAAAAAGAACACAAAAGAAAAACAAAAAGGAGAGAAAAAAGGUGAAAAGUUGAAAAGUGACGUGAGAGAGACCAAACAAAAAGAAAAGAGAAAAAGGAAAGCCCCCACGUUACUGUUCAUCGUCUUCUUCGUGGGGGGUGUCUCCGCCUUCGCCAGCCCGCACCGUCGCCGUCUCACGAGCCGCCGCCCAUCGCCGCUCCGCCGGUGACCCGCGAGUCCGCUCCAUUCCACCGCAGCAGCCUCGUUCCGGUCCGACGCCGCCAUGCUGCCCCAGUCGACGAUCGCCACGCCGCCCGAGCACCACGAAGCCGCACGUGCCCCCGCGCCCAGAUCUCGAGUCGCGACGCCCUUGCUCCGUCCUGGAGCCCCCGACGCCAUCGUGACCUCCGAUCAGUGAACCGACACCAGGAGAUCCGAAGCCUUGCUCCGCCCGUGACGCCGCCCCUGACGGUAGCCGGUCCAGAUCCGACGCCGCUUCGUGCCGAUCCGACGCCGCCCCGUGCCGAUCCGCGACGCCUGCACCCAGACCUGCAAGUCCCCCACGCCGGUCUCCGCCGUUCCUCUUGUUGCCGGAGCUCUUCAGCCACCGGUUUGCCCUCACCGGAACCCUAGCCGACGAGCUCUCCCUCGCCGGAACCCUUCGCCGGAGUCCCAAAUCGGUGGUCAAGAUUUUCUUUUAUUAAAAAAAAAGAAAAAAUCGAAUUAGGUAGAUUUGCUUUAUUUUAUUGGGCUGGAUUAUUUUAUCUUAUUUUAUUUUUAUAUCUUGGUUUCUUUGUUUGAAAUAUUUCUCUAUGCAUAAUUGGAAAUCUUAAUAUGUCACUCGAUUCGCAACCGCGCCAUGAUUUUUUAUUUCAUCUAUAAGGCUUUAGAUGAAAUAAUUAAUCAAGUGGGAUUAAAAUUGAUAUUUUGAUUUUUAAGGCUUAAGAUCAAUUUAUCGAUUUUACUAGCGAAAUAUUAUCCCUUGAUCUGAACGAUGUGAGAUAUUUUGAUGAUUUUGAAUGAAUUGUCUCGUCUUAAUUGCCUUGUUUAUCUCGAGAUAUGUUUGAGCUAGAAUAUUGCAUGUUUUAGGGUUUACAUGUUUAGAAUAGGAAUUUUAUUUAAAAAAAUAAAAAAAAUCAAUUUAGGUUGUUAGAUUUUAGUUUGGAUUGCAUGUUUAAUUAUUCGACAAUUGUUAAUUUCGAAAUUAAACAAAAAAAACAAAAAAUCAUCAUGUACAUGUCAUGUAAUGUUAAAGCAUAUUUUGCACGUCAUUGCAUAUUAGGAUUAAAUGGAACUUAGUUUAAUUUAGAUCAUUUUUAAUUUAUUAUAAGUUUAGGCAUUUUUAGAUAUAUUGCAUUUUAGGAUUAUUUAGGUUAAGAUAAUAUUUUAGUUUAAAUUAGGAUAUAGCUCAACCUAAUUCCUAAUAUAAAUUAAAUAGAAUCUUAAUCUAAUUAGGUAAUUUUCACAUUUCACCAAAUUUCGAAUUUCAUGAAAAAUACAAAAAAUGUCAUAGGUUAAAUUAGUUUUAUUAUUUAGGAUAAAAUGCAUUCUUUUAGAAAAAGAAAAAAAUGUCAUGUGCACGUCAUUAGGGUUAGAUUCAUUGAAAUGCAUGUCAUUUAGUAUUUUUGCUAGGCCCAUUUAAUUAGAAAUUACAUGUCAUUAGGAUUAGGUCAUUUAGUUAAUAUCGCAUUGCAUAUUGCAUGAUUUUCAUUAAUUAAGUGAAAAAAAAAAAGAAAUUGUAUGUUAAUUAGAAACCAUAUCCAAGGUUAUUGAUGUAGAUUUUAAUUUAACAUUGCAGAUGCUUUCGUUGCUUGGAGGUAAGUUUUUGCAAUUUAUUUAUUGUUUAUCUGAGUGUUAAAUUGGUGGUUUGUGCACGCGCAUGAUAACCUCAUAUGUUAGGGAAAUAGAUUUAAAAUAAACCCAAGCUGCUUGCAAAAAACAUUUUUUCAAAAUAAAAGAAAUGGUACCGAAAGGGCGUUAGAGAAAUUUAGCGUAACCAAGUCUCCGUACCCAAAUUUCUGGUUCGUAAAAAUAAAGUAAAUCUCCCGUUACUUUAUUUGGGUUUCUAAUCGACCCACCAAAAUAUAGAUUAGUGGCGACUCCUAAUUGAAAAUCAUUUGCAUGUUAAGAACUUGAACCUAAAGUCGCGAAUUGGUAUGGGCUUGGGAGAGCCCGAGUUAAGUCUAGGCUUAACAAUUCAUUAGCCAAACCCUAGGUGGUUUAAACCCCGAAAAAAAAUAGGUCGCGACACCUUGUAGAGCACAAGAUAGACUUUUUGUUCUCCACUUUUCACGCACUCCAUUAUCUGAAAGAUCUCGCGGAGGCACCAUUCACUAGUAGCAUAAUUUUUUGAGAUAACUGGGAUUGAAACUUUAGAGCACUUGAUUGCAUUGAGAAUCAAGUCAAUUGACUCCCCAAUCUCGAGGCUGUCAUCAUCUCUGAACAUGAAAUUUGGAAGGUGCAGGCCCUCUCGUACAAGUUCAUGGUAGAGGUGAUCAACGAAGCCUUUUCGAGUAUCAAGACCUAUAAAACUUAAGAAUACGUGGUAAUUGUUUCCAAUCACAUCGGCGUACGAAGCAGAUGGCCCAGAAUUCUCUUCGGAAUCUGACAGCACAUCGAUCUCCUCUGGUGAGUCCGGAAGAGGCGAUCCGCUCCCGCGCUCAUCCGAUGGUCUUUGUCGCUUCCAAAUGGUCGAGCUCGAAGCUUCAGCAUCUGGCUUGCGUUUCCCAUCUUCCAUUGCAGUGCACGCUCUCUCUCUCUCUCUCUCUCUCUCUCUCUCUCUCUCUCUCUCUCUCUCACAGAGACGCGACUAUUAUGGAUGGAUUUGAGCGGGGAAUAAUUUUUGGGCUAUCUCUAUGCUACACUUAUAGCGGGGCAGGAAAAGAGGAAGAAGGGAAAGCAGGAGGCAAGGCAUGAUUACUCGACUCUUAUGUAUAUUUUAAUCUCUCACAGUACGUUGGUCGUUUCAUGUAUUUCUUACAUUCACACGUGGAAUCUGGAGAUAACUUCAAAUUUGACUAAAAGCAACUCAGUCCUUGCCUUCUUGUGGUCCUCACUACCAUUGGCCUUGACAACCUUCCCCAUUGUUCCCAUUGGCUCUCAGGAGUCUCCAAUUUUGUCGCGGAUUGAGAAUUGCGCUCGAAUGGAUCCUCCAACUCAUGAAUUAUGUCCCGAAUUGGACGUUACACUCCAUAUACGCGUCUCUUCCAAUAUUGUUAGGAUUUCGUCAGUGACCGCAGUAAGGUACUUGCUAAGUAAUCAAUCAAGAGAAAUUUACAUUUUUCAUUAACUGUUCAUAUGUAAUGCAGAAUUUUAUUUGGUCCUCACAGUAUUUGUACUCUCGUGUUAAAUGGAUAUGGAUGCAACAUGCUCUUAUGGGAGUGGGAUUUUUACCUUAGUGAAUGAACUUUCAUUACUCUUGAGCCUUCUAAAAAAAAAAGAUAAAACGCACCUUUUAUAUAAUUGACACGGAAUAAAAUUAAAUUUCUUCAACCCACCAUCGAAUAAAAUCGGUUCCUUGCAUUAUCACAUGAAAGAUAGUGAAAGAUAUGUCAAUCAAUACUUAUUAUUUGGACAAUUUUGAGUCACACGUUGCGGUUCUAUGUCAAUUUACGGGAUUUUUCUUUUCUUUUUCUUUUUUAACAUUUGUAUUCUCUAUUUAACAUAGAAUUUAUUAUAUAAAAAAAUUAUGAUUUACCCUCACCCCUUUUAAGGAUGUUCAUCUAGAAUUUAUUAAAUGCGUCUCGAACUAUGGAUUCAAAAUCAAACUCGGGCUCCGUAUCCACUUCCAUUUUUGCUCAUGAUCUGAUUAGUUUUAAGUGAAUUAAAACGCGAGAGAAAUCAAACGGAUAGAGGGGGUAAACAUCAAUUCUUCUUUUUCCCGAAACCGUACCCACGACCGAUUCCCCACCCCCACUGCGACGUAUUCGUGGGACCAUCCCAGUAUUUAUUAUUAUUUUUUUUUUUCGAUUUUCCGAAUUUCUCUGGGCCAGAACCGGGAAAUUCGGGAGUGGAACUAUGCAGUCAGAGGUGACGCAUGACUCGUUCGGCACGAGUAAGAGUGACGUCAGAGUUCGUAACGAAACGGUUUUUAAUGGCCAAUUUGAUAACAUGUGUUAGUUCUAUUUUUUUUCUCGAAAUAAAAAAAGAAUAAAAAUUUAUUUAGCAACUUUUUUGUUCCCGAAAAUAAAUUUGAAAUAGAAUCGCGAAAUAAAAAAGAGUUACUUCUGUAUUCACAGAAAACACUCUAAAAUCAAGCUAAAUCAUGUUUUUUUCCUUUUUCUUUUAUCUUCUUCUUCUUCUAACCGGUCGUAAAAAUAUAAUAAAUUAUUAAAAAAUUAAAGAAAUUUUGAAAAAUGCAAUAAAUUUCUAACAUAAAAUUAUAUUAAAAAUAUGAUAAAAUUAUAUAAUGAAAUUAAAAAUAUAUAUAACGCAAUUUUAAAAUAAAAUAAAUUUAUCAAACAUUAAAAGAGAAAAAUAUGAUAAAAGUAUUACAAAAUUAAAAGAAAUUCAAAGUCCUAAAAAAAAUUUAAGGAUUGUACUAAACGCAUUUCUAUUCUAGGUGUAAAAAUUUGGGCAGUUAUCAAAUGCCUUCAAAUGCUUGGAAACUCGUUUAGAGAAUAAAAUAAAAUAAAAAUCAUUUAUGAGCAAACAUUAUUAUCAAGAAUAAAAUGGUUACUAAACACACCUAAAGACUCCCAUACAAACAUCCUCAAUUUGAACUAAGAAGUUCCAUUUGUUACUGAAUCCUUUCGGAUGUUAAUAAUUAAACACUGAACACGUCAAAAUAAUGUCACGAAGGCACCGAUCAAGCAUACUUAAUUUGGAGUGAUUUCAGAUUACUGAUGGUGCAUGACACAUGAACAGUUGACGGAAAAUGUAAUCUUUCCUCAUUUGACUGCUUAGCAAAAACUGUGAAUGCGGUCGCUGACCAAAUCCCGACAAAAUUGGGAGAGGCACGUAUAUUUAUUAUGAAAUAAUUACUAUGAACUGAUAUAAUUGAUGUCAUUAGAUGAAAUAAAGUGGGUAAUUGACCUGGACUUAGUCGUUGCCUUCUAGGCAUCAUCUAGUGAAUGGGAGUCAACAGACACGAGCUGAUUAUAUUCUUAAAUAUACACCAGCAAUUUAGUUAGCCCGUGCUACGGAUGGAGCAUCGUUUAUGAUUUAAAUUGUAUUAGUCUUUUUUGGCCACAAAUUUAAUAUGAUAUCCAAAAAAAGACACAAAAGAAAGAAAGAAAAGGACGUGGUAGCUAUAUUGCCGCUUCAAUUACAUUACCAUUAUACCGGCCUAUGGACUUGUGCUAAUACCCAGGAAAAAGACCCUGUGAAAUAGAUUGCAUGAAAUAAUUAUUCUAGGAGUCUUGAUCAUCAUGAGAGUAAGAGAUUUUCGUCACAUUAGAAGUAAUUACAUGCCCCAUGAACUAAAAGGGAAAAAUUUUAGGUUCAAUGAAGGUGGAAAAAUGAAAGGGAAAUCUUUACAGAAGAAAGUUAAGAUAAAUAUCAAUCAAGAGAGGGCCGAGGACGCAUUGACGACUAUUCGACUCCAAAGAAGCCUGAUUGCACCAAUCGAUUCGUUCUGAUAACUAUGUUGCUCCCACUAUUUUGCAGCUCUUGCUCAUUUGAUUCUUGAUUGGAACAUCCUUAGUUUGGCGAUAUUCAUUCUGCUCCUGCUCUCCAUCGCAAAUUUCAGCACCAAAAUUUGCUUCACUUUCUCAGUUGAAGAACGCAACAAGUUUAGGGUUUGAAGAAGAAAAUAAAUUUAGCCCCAGUUCAUUAAUUGGUGGGCAAAUAACACACAUGGACAACAUAUUUCAGUACUAUUGUUGCUGAUUCACUUUAUCAGCAAGCCACGUCCAACAAUUUAUAAUAAAAUAAUGUUAUGUCGGAUUUUUCAGCUACACGAAUUGUCAACUAAAGCAAUCAAUCUUUCAUAUAAAUGAUACUUAAGUAAUUGAGAAAAUAAUUAUGUUAUUAAAGUGAGCGUCAUAAGAAAAUUAAGAUAAUCAUGGUAUUCUUAUUUCAAUUUGCAAUUGAAGGUAUCGAGCAUUUACAACUUCAAGGAAUUUUUUUGACCAAAAAGGAAGAACUCCUUUUUUCUUUUUUUCUUUAUUCCAUGAUCAAUCGACCUAUAAAGUAUAACAGGUGAGGAGACGCAUCUCGUAANNNNNNNNNNNNNNNNNNNNNNNNNNNNNNNNNNNNNNNNNNNNNNNNNNNNNNNNNNNNNNNNNNNNNNNNNNNNNNNNNNNNNNNNNNNNNNNNNNNNNNNNNNNNNNNNNNNNNNNNGGGACGAUGCAAGUCCUUAAGGUGCGGUCCAAUCGCUCGAUAUAUGGCAUAUGUAACAUCGGCGACAAAUGACAUCCCACCGAUCUGAUUUUUCGGGUGGCUUAUCGACAUCUUCGCGAAGAAUCCACCUACUUGAGUUUUAAAAAUAAUAAUUAUAAAUUUAACAAGAAAAGAAAACAAAAAAAGGGAGGAUGCAUAUACAAAUAUUAUUGAUUGAUAAUCUUUCAGUGGAGCAAGCGACAAAAUUACAUAUCAUAAACAAAAUUGAUCUAGCUGUACAGAAGUAAGUGACACCGAUAAUACUGGUGAUUAUGUCACGCGUAAGAUCGACGACAGGCCAUUUGUUUAGCCUUGGUUCGAGAGUCACCUCGUGGUGCGUCAAAAGACAGCCGAUUGUGUCGUUGUCGACAACUGAAGCCGAGCAUCGAGCUGUAUCCGUGGCAGCUCAAAAGCACCCCCGGUUAGCGCAAUGCUGAACGAUUUGCACUAGAAAAUAUGAGUGCUCGUGAGACUAUACAAUGACGAUCGAUUGGCGAUUCGACUAAUAGAGAACUGAGUGAUUCAUAUGAGAACGAAGUACAUGGAAGUCCACUGUCACUUUGUGGGUGAGAAAGUAGUGGGUGGAGAGAUUGAAAUGAAGUUCACCAAAACAAAUUAACAAGUUGAUGAUAAUUUCAUGGAGGGACAUAUCAAGAUCCAAGCUGGCAGAAUUUCAAAAUAGUUAGGCAUCACAAACAAGCUGCAUUAGAAAUCAAAGAUUGACACUCGCGCUGGUGUCACCUGACUUGUAAUGGUACCGAACCGACAUAGUGGGAGGCACGAAAUGAAGUUUUCUUUGGCCAAAAUAAAGAGUAGAAAAAGCACGGCAUCAAAUAGUAUAAGCAGCUUUUGACAGAUUUUGAAACAGGAUCCGUUUAUAGUUGCUGUUUCAAAGCUUCAUUCGCUAUGAGUUAAGCCAAUUUUGGAAAGUCCCAGUUACUCCAAUGUGAAUAUCUGGAUCCCGAAGUGGUUUGCACGAAGUAGUGUGUUAUGCCAAUCUUUGCCUUCCUAUGCUAAUAACCGCUACCUGCAAAAGGCGUCCUUCCAAGGUCCCUAGGCAAUGGAAAUGGAACGGGAUUCGACGAGCAUGUUAGCUGUUUGAUUAGGAGAGGAAGCUGUGCACUUUCAGAUGCAUUCUAUAAGCUACUUGCUUAGGUGGUCCAGUUAGGAACAUUCUGGGAAAACUACAAUCCUUUGUUAAGAAUAAGUUCCUUCAAAGUCUCAAGCACUAGAGAAAAAUUAUCAUUCAUAAAAAGUUACUGAUGAUGGGAGCCUAGAUGACUAGCACUCAUUCUCAUAUACAAAUGUUAUUCUACUAGCUAUAGAAAGAUCCCUCAUUAAUACGAGCCCAUUUACAAAAACCAUGCUUUCAUUGGUAAAAUUACUAAACAUUAGUAUCCCCAAAGGUAUGGGCAUUUGAGGAAAAUCACCAUCUUACACGUACUUUAUUUAAAUGAUAAUCAUCCAAAGUUAUGCCUUUCAAGGGGUAAAAUUGAAAUGAUUCUUUUAUGGCUGUCUUCCAAUCUUUUAUGUAUGUCAUUCACACGUUAAAUCUGGUCUGAUCUUAUUUUAAUGUACUUGGAAAAGAAGGAAAUGAAUUUUCUCAGUUCGUUUAGACAAAAGGCAAAAUUAGGUGAGUUUCAUGCACUAUAUUCAAAAUUAACGCAACUUGGUUGGCAAGUUGGCAAGAAAUUUUAAAGUUGGUUCUCAUCAUAUUUUAAUAACGAUGAUGAAGACAAACUGCAGAGUUGGCAAGAAAAGGACCUGCGCAGCGACAUCAAAUUGACUUUAAUAUGCUUUUUAUUCCGCUAAAGUUGCAUCAAAUUGACUUUAAUAUACUUUUAUCCCGCUAAAGUUACAUCAAAUUGACGUCCAUUAAUAUUUUAUCCAGCUAAAGUUACAAGUUUCAUCAAAUUGACACCUAUUAAUUUUUUUAUUCCAAAGAGCAGGUACUAAAAGUUACGUGUGACCCGUUGAAGUCUUUGUUUAAUGUUUUCUUUUGAGCAAACUUCCAGCUGUCGUUCGGUGGCCAUUAAAUAAUUACCAAAAAAUAAACAUAGACGGAGCUUACCCGACAUCCCACCGCGAAGGCGCAGUGGCUUGUGUGUGCCGAGACUCCGCCGGCCACCUGCUCGAUGGUUUUACUUGUACUGUUACCGCCUCCGAAGCACUAGAAACAGAGGCACAGGCUUUCAAUCUUACCCUUAAGUUUCUCUUGCAGAAAAGGAAGAAUCACGAUCACAUCCUGCUGGAAUCCGACUGCUCCGUGCUUGUUGAUGCCGUACGAAACCCUAAUUUGAUUCCAUGGAAACAAGAAGCUCUGUUUGCUGAAGCUCUGUCGUUUUUGUCCUCUUUCCCGCACCUUCAGAUCCAGCACUGUAGACGGACAGCAAAUUUCCUCGCUGACUGGGUUGCCAAAGCGCAUGGGCUCUCCUUACUCCCCUCUAAUUGGGUUGUCUCUCCUCCGCAUUAUCUGUUGGAUCUUCUAUUUUCCGAAGCUAUGUACAGUGGCUGUUCCAUCGUCAGUUAAUAUAUAAAUCUGCUGUUUUGACCAAAAAAAAAAAAAUUACCAAAAGAAAGAACUGUAUCUUCCUGGAUUUUUUUUUCUUUUUUGGUAAAUUGGGAUUUCGAAUCUUCAUCAUUUGUGUUUUUGUUGACUGAUUUGAUCAGUCACAAUUGUAUCCUUGAAAUCCAGGUGAGCACUCAGCACAAGCGGUAGCAACUAGGGGUUUGUAUGGUCCAGUAGGCGGUUUCCGACCGAGAAUCGGGAACCGUCCGCCAAAAAAUUGGAACCGGAAAUCACCCACUAGUUAUAUGGAUCCAUCCGAGAACCGGACCGCCGAUCUGAUUUGGUUUCCAGAUGGAUCCAUGGAACCGGCCUCACCAACAAUAAUAUCGUUUUCCAAAUCCUGCCGGGAGUACUUUUCAUAUCGAGUUAUAUUUUUCUUUAACUCGAACCGACUUAAUUAAAGGUACAAUUUUUCUUUAUUUUAUUGGAAAACACUACCAAAUAAGAGAAAUAGGCUUUUUCCUAUUUUUGAAUCAUUUAAGUUGAAAUCUAAAACAUUUUUUAAGUUCAAAGUUUUGGAUAAUUGUCAUAUGUAAAUAGUCUUUCCCUUUAUCCCCCUAACAAUGUUCAAUCUCUUACAACAUUUGCUUUGCUGAAUUAUUUUGGUAGAAACAAUUUCACCAGUACUCCACAUAUUCUUGAAUACACUGUCCUAUGUGUGUCCUGAAAAUAUCAUUUGAAUGAGCCAUUUGUAGAGUUGCUAAAAGGCAGUUUAUACACUUUACUAAAUUCUUAUAAAAACAUGGAAAUCAUGAGAGGAGAUGGAGCUCUAAAAUUUAGAUUUGCUAAUUAGUAAUUUUGAAUUUUAUUUUAAUAUUAAAAAAUAAUAUAUUAUUAUAAUAUAAUCGGUCCAGUCCAAGUGGAUGGAUCUACCUAUGGAACCGGAAACCGGAAACCGGAAUGGUACCCACCGGUUUCCAUUAAUUGGAACCGAGAACCGGACCAGUUCCCUCAAGAACCACGGGUUCCAAGCGGUUUCGAUUUGGUUCCGAGCAGUCUGAGCGGGUCCCGAUUAUUUUGCACACCCCUAAUAGCAACAUCAUUUCCUUUUUGAAAUCUCUCCUCUCGCAAACCUCGCCUUAAAUUCUUCAAUUCGGUAUCUUUUUUAUUUUGUGAAAUAGUACCUCAAAUUGAUUAAGAAAAUAAAGUAUUGCUCUGAUUGAUUGAUGAAGUGACUAUUAUGUCUAAUUAGAUAUAACUUAGUAAUUUAUGUUUAGGAGUAAGUUAAGUUAGGUGAACCCCGCAUUUAGUCAAGACAAUAGUAGAAUAUAAGGGUUCAAAGAUUUUCUUGAAAAUAAUGGAUGUAUAUGGCGUAUAAAAAAGGGACAAUUUCACCAUUGGUCACCAAUAUUCUUGAUGAAAGUUCAAUUUGAUGGCUGAAACUUUAAUUUUGUUUAAUUUCACUAUUUAUUCUUUGAAUUAGAUCAAUUUAAUUCCUCUAAUCAACUAAGUCAUGUUGGCCCCUAAUGUGAUAAUUCAUCUCCAUCGUGAGACCUGCCAUCGCUAGCCUGAUUGGGUUCUCUAGAGCCACAUCAGCAAAAUCUACAAACCAAAUGGGGAGAGAAUUGGGGGAGGGAGAGACAAGUAGGCGAUGGGAGAUGGGCAAUGGUGCUCGAUUCCUAAUUUUAAAGCAAUAUAGAUAUUGGAGUAAGUUGAUCUCAAAAUUUUUCGAGUAUGUGUGUGAAGAAGUGAGUUAAUUACUUUUAGUUAAAAUAAAGUGAUAAAGUUUGAAAGAAGAAAAUAAAAUCUUAAUGGAUUUGUUUAUCCAUAAGUUUAUGGCAGGUAAUAUGGUACGAGUACAUGAAUUUCUUUCAAGUCACUUGAUGUCUCGGGUAUAUGCUCAUGUUGACUUCCAUUAAUAUUUUAUCAAGCUGAAGUUACAAGUUUCAUCAAAUUGACACAUCAAAUUUUUUUAUUCCAGAGAGUAGGUGGUGAAGUUACGUACGACCGACUGGGGUCUUUGUUUAAUGUUUUCUUUUGGGCUAACUUGCUAGAGUAAGUCCUCAUCAUAUAUAUUAAUCACAACGGUGAAGAAAAACUGUAGAGUUGGCACGAAAAGGACUUCCUAGCGUCAUCAAAUUAACGUCCAUCAAUUUUAUAUCCUAAAGAGUAGGUACUGAAGUCAUGUAUGACCAUGAUCAAUUGGAGUAUUCCUUUAGUGUUUUCUUUUGGGCUAACUUCCAUGAGUAGGUUCUUAUCUCGUAUAUUAAUCACGACAACGAAGAAAAAUUGUAGAGUUGGCACGAAAAGGACUUCCCGGCGACAUCAAAUUGACGUCCAUCAAUUUUAUACCCUAAAGAGUAGGUACUGGAUUUAUGUAUGACCAUGACUAAUUGAAGUCUUUCUUUAAUGUUUUCUUUUGGGCUAACUUCCAAGUGACGUUCGGUGGCCAUUAAAUAAUUUCCAAGUAGAAGAACGGCAUCUUUCAAGGAAUUCUCAUCGUCAUUAUUUGUGUUUCUGUUGACUGAUUCGAUUGAUCCCAUUUAUUCCAGGAAACCCGAGCUAGCUCCCAGCAGGUCAUUUCCUUUAUGACAUCUCUCUUCCUCCCGCAAAAUCUCACUUUAAAGUCUUCAAUUUUACAUGGCUCUUUUCUCUCACAAAUUGUAUCUCUAACCGAUAUGUGGNNNNNNNNNNNNNNNNNNNNNNNNNNNNNNNNNNNNNNNNNNNNNNNNNNNNNNNNNNNNNNNNNNNNNNNNNNNNNNNNNNNNNNNNNNNNNNNNNNNNAAGUUGCCGUUACGUCCUCAGUAAUCUAUUGAGUUAGGUAAAUUCGGCAUUUAGUCAAAACAGAUAGUAAAAAUAGAAGUGUUCCAAGAUUUUGUUAAAAAUGAAGCAUGCAUAUAGAAUUUCAGAAGGGGCUAUUUCAAAAUGGGUCCCUAUAGUCAUGAUGAAAGUAAAAUUCUUCAAUUUGAAUCAGAUCAAUUUAAUUUCUCAGUCGUUGUCAUCUUGUGAUCCUCAGUCCGCUCCCUCGACGUCUGCUCCCUACUGGAUUAUCUGGCGGCGGUUAUAUCUUGGUGCUAAAUGCAGCCAAAACACAUGAGCUGAUCGUGUGGGUUGGCAAGGCAGGAACGUUUACCGUUCAUACUGUUGUCUUUUAGGAAAAUUAAACGGUCUAUACUUAUAUUACUACUAUACUAGCCUAUAGAUCCGUGCUACACAUGGGAAAAAGACUUGUGGAAUAGAUUAUUGGAAAUAAUUAUUCUACAAGUACAUUGAAUCAACGUGAGAAUAAGAGAUACUCGUAAUAUUAAAAGUGAUUAUUCUAGGAAAAUUAUAGUUCAAUUAAAGUAGAAAAAUGAAAGAAAUUUUUUUUCAAAAGAAAGUUAAAAUAGAUGUUACUCAUGGCAAGCGGUUCGUGACAAUCACCAUUGAAAAUCUUUUGGAAAAACCCCUUUACAUACAAGAUAGAUUCAUUAUAUCUAUCAUUAUAUUUAUACGCAAGACAUUUGAUUUUAUAAGAUACAUUCUAAGCUCUAAGAAAUUAAGGUUUCGGUUUUUGUGCAAGCACAUCAACAAUUUGCAUUUUACUAACUUAUGAACUUUAAUAAAGAACAUAAACAACAAAGUAAAUUACGGGACGUUCACGUUGCUACCUCAUCACUUUAACUUUUGGCCCAAAUGUUCUUAGUAUUAUUGGUUUUGCAAUUGGUAAAUCAAGCAACUUAUUAUAAUGAAAAGGUUUAAUUAUGUUCCUCAAUCCUCACUCUGUGGCAUGUAAUUCUUCAAGUGUACCCAACUUGCUAAAAGUGAGAAAAUGCUAAUAGUAAUAGUAAAUUAGUCAUUUUCUCACUUUUAGCGAUGUUCAAAAUUAUCAAGUUUUUCAAAUCCCGAAUAAAUUCAGGUAAUUUUCAAUUGGUGUGUCCAUAACAAGUUCAAUUUAGUCAACCAUUCCAACUUUCUCAAAUUUAAUCUGGGAUAUGAUAGGGACAUAAUCAACUCAGGCAUAACCAAUAGCAUUUGGAAAUCUCGUUCUGCCAAAUGACAUGCCGUGCAAUUUUGUGAGGUGUCCAACUCUCUUAAAGUCUAUAUGAGUUGAAGCAAUCUCUCAAGUUAAGGGUAGACAAAUUUACCAUAUGGCUAAUUGAUUUAGAAAGUCCAAUCAAUAUUUCGCAACCAUUAGGCAUCAAUCUUUACCUUCUUCAAUAAAGCUUUUCCCGCUAUCUUUUUCUUAACAUAAUCAGUGGACUUAUAAAAAGGUAAGGUGACGCCUAAUGUGAUUUUCCCAUCUACAGUUUAUUUUUGUGGGUUCCGUAUUUUCCCAGAAUUUUCCUCUCUAAUGUUUUUUUCCCUUCCUUUUUUUUUUCCUGACAUUGAACAAAGAAUACGCAAUUCUUUAUGCAUAAUGUAUACUGGCGACGGUGACAUCCUACACAUUUUUUCGUUGGCCUUACUGACAAUUUCGUUAAAAAUCCAUCUACUUGAGUUUUAAAUGAUAAAAUCAAAUAAAUAAUAAAACAAAAUAAAAAGGAAAAGUUGCAUGUACAGAAAUUUCAUGUUUGGUAAUCUUUAGUGGACCAAGCAACAAAAAAAGAUAUCGUAAACAAAAUCGAUCUAGCAGAUAUAAAUAAGUACAUGUCAGCUUGAAGGUGGAAAAGAUAAAAGAGAUAAUUGAUCUUUGUGAUGCAGAUUAGGCUAACGACUACGAUAUACAUAGAUCAAUAUUUUCAGGAAGGGACUUAUCGGGAUCCAAGUUUGUAGAAUUUGGAAAAUAGUUUGGCAUCUCAAGCAGGAUGAAGGUAGCAGAAGUUGAAGGAGAGCGUUACAAAUUAAAGUUGGAUACUCACACUGAUCCCCUGAUUUGUAAUAGUACCAAUUCUACAUAGUGGUAAGCUUGCAAUGGAGUUUUCUUUUGGCCAAUUGAGAACAGAAAAAUCAUGGUAUCAACUAUUAUAGUUAUUAUUCACAGGUUUUUGAAACAGGACGCUUCGAUAGCUACAAUUACAAGAACGCCCCGAUGUCACGAGCACUUGCAGAGAAUUACUAUCUCAUUCUCUUAUAACAAGUUAUCUACUGGCAACUCUUUGAGUAUUCCCAAAGGUAUGAGCAUUUGAGGAAAAUUACAAUCUCUCUAGAAACGCAACUGUUUGUGUAUUUAUUUCUUUUUCACUUAAAGAGUUAUGCGUAACCCAAGCAGUCUCUUUUUUGUUUCAUUAAAAAAAAGAAUUGUCUCUCGUAUUAUGACACAACUAACAUGUAAAAGAAUAACUGCCAAAAAGUCUCUUUAAUAAAAAUAGAUUAUGACCAAAAUAAACACAUUACGGCCUAAACAAAUUACACAUUAUUAAUGCAGAAAAAGCCAUGAAAGUAGGCAUAGAAAAAUUACUAUUACUUAAGCACAUUAAUGGUGUGGCUGUAUAUAUUAUCCGAAUUGGAGCUAAGUGAGUAAUAUUCGAGCUCCAUCAAAAAGCAAACUACUGAUGCUCUGACUAUUAGAGAGAAUUCGUUGAUGAACACUUACUUAUAAUUAAACGUGUCAAACGGAUGGAUUGGGUCAAUUUGAGGUAAGUUGAAAAUGUUUUUGAUUCAAAUUGGCUCAUUCAAUCCAUAUUAAUCUAUUUUAUCUAACACAACUUUCGCAACCAAUACUUGAUUCAACUCAUAUACCCAACCUGACUCGGGUUCCAACUCUUACCAAUUUUUCUCCUUACAAAUGGAAAAUAGCACACUGAAAAGAAAAAAGGAAAAAAAAAAAGAAGCUAACCAGAUAAAAAACAAAUUACACAUGUAAAAAUUAACAAAUAACAAAUUACAUAAAAACUUAAUGAAUCAAGUUAUUAGAAGACAUUCCUUGUUUUAUCUCUUGGUUCUAGAAAUUCGAUCUAAUUUAACGGAAGAGAUCGUGUCUGAAAAAAUAUAUAUGGCAUAAAGUUAAUAUGAUAUUCAUCACUAUUAACACAUGCAAUUGAUGAUUACAUAAAGUUUGUUUCCGGCCAUCGUAGUCUCCUCACCAUGAAAUUGUACAUGUGCUUUAAAUUAUACAAAGUUACGUCUUUUAUGUAUGUCAUUCACACACGAAAUCUUGUGUGCUCGUAUUUUAAUGCAAGGUUGUCAUAUUUUUAUCAGAAUUAACAAAAUUUGUCAUACUUUUAUCACAACGACGAAGACAAAAUGCAAGGUUGGCACCGAAAGGACUUCUUGGCGACAUCAAAUUGAUGUUCAUCAAUAUUUUAUUCAGCUAAACUUACUCAUAUUGCCGUCCAUCAAUUUUUUAUCGCAAAGAGUCGACUAAAUUAUGCAUGACCAUGACCAAUUUAAGUCUUUGUUUAAUGCUUUCUUUUGGGCUAACUUCCAAGCUGUCACUUGGUGGCGAUUAAAUAAAUACGAGGAGAAAGAACGGUAUUUCCCCAAGAUUUCGAAUCGUUAUUAAUUGUGUUUUUAUGGACUGAUUCGAUCAAUCACAUUUGUAUCCUGAAAACCCGGGUAGCACUCAGCAUGGUUAUUUUCCUUUUUGACAUCUCUCCUCCUCUCGCAUAAUCUCACUUGGAAAUCUUCAAUUUAAUAUAUCUCUCCCUCCUGAAAUAGUAUCUCAAUUCGAUAUAAAGAAAACACAGUAUUGCUUUGACUGAUUUUUGAAGUAUAACCUCAAUAUAAUUAACUGUCGAAGAACGAAGUGACUAUUAUGUCUAAUUAGAUCUACUUAGUGAUUUAUGUUUGGGAGCAAGUUUGAAUUAGGUGAACUCGGCAUUUAGUCAAAACAAGAGUAAAAUAGAAGCGUUUAAAUAUAUUCUUAGAAACAGACCAAUAUAUAUAUUCAUAGGAAAAAAAAUUCUUAAAAAUAAUGGAUACAUAUGACGUAUAACAAGGGGGCAAUUUUAAAGUUGGUUCCCAGUACUCUUCAAUCUGAUUGCUAAAGUUUAAUUUUGUUUGACUUGGCUUCUUUUUUUUUUUUUUUUUGGUUGGAAAAGCGAUUUACUUCAUUCAAUAAAGUUCAAAGGAUAACAUAAGUUAUGGGUUUUUGCACCUAAAAGAUCCCAUAGAGGUGAUGAUGGCACUAUAAGCCAAUUGUGAGGAAGAGCCUUCUUGCUAUAGGUUUUGGCGAGCCAAUUUGCAACUUGGUUUGAUUUCCUUGGGGCGGAUGCCGGUUCCACCAAACUGGAUCAGGCGAGCAUCUCUUUACAGUCUUCAAUAAUGGGUCUCAGCUCCCAUGGGCUUGGGUUUUGGCCCACUAUCAUCUUCACAAGUGAUAAAUUAUCUGACGCCUAUCUCCAAGUGCAAAUCUUAUCUCCGUCACUAAAAUGGAGAACUUACGCAAGCGAAAAGUAGUACCGGAUCCUUACCGCUCACUGUGCAAAGACCGGGCGGAAUCCACAUAGCAUCUCCUUCUCUCGUCCUUGGACGCGAGACAUAUGGGCUUAACCAUCCCUAAACAUUCAGGUUUCUUUCCAAGGGUUAAGCAAACUAGAGAUAGAGCUAACGCAAUUCUUCAAAAGCACAGAAAACGCACCUUCUCUGGCACUUGUAGCCCCAUUUGGUUCAAUUUUGGGGAAAUGGCUUUGCAUUUUCCCAAGUAUUUUGAGUGAAAGAGCAUUUUGGGAAUGCAAAGUGUGUUUGGGAACUCUUUUGCAAAGUAGUUUUGAGGUGAAAAGAAAAAGUAAAAAAAGAAAGGAAAAGAAAAGGGAGGAGGAGAUGUAGCUCUCGGCAGUGGGGCUGGUGGUGGUGGGGAGGCGGCUGGUGGCGAUGGAGAGGCGGCUGGUGGCGGUGGCGGUGGCAAUGGAGGAAGGCGGCUCGCCUGAGGUCGCCGACCUCAGGCGACGCCUGGGUCGCGCGACCUAGGCGACGCCUGAGUCGCGCGCCCUCAGGCGACACCACCUGAGGUCGAGUGACCCAGGCGACUCCGCCUGAGGCCGUGCGACCUCAGGCGACGUCGCCUGGGUUGAUUUCUCCCUCCGAUCCUUCUUCGGCCUCCAGGUAGCGUGCUCUUGAACUCACGGCUGUCGUCAUCUUCUUCCAAUCGUCGCGGGUCUCGCGAAGGAUUUUCUCGCCGUCGUCUUCUGGGAGUGUUGAGUGCCGCCGUCGCCGUUGCCAUCUGGGUGCGUCGCAUGGGUCGCCUGACCUCAGGCGCGACCCAGGGCGUCGCCUGAGGUCAAGCGACCCAGGCUACGCCCGAGGUUGCUCGACCUCAGGCCACCUCGCCUGAGGUCGCCUGAGGUCGUGCGACCUCAGGCGAGGCUUCCCGACGGCUAGAUCUAGCCCCCUGGCGGCCAGAUCUGGCCUCUCACCAGCUGAGCUUCGUGAGGAAGAACGAAGAAGACGAUGAACAGUGUUUUUUCGAGGGCAAAAAAGGAAAACAAAAUUAUCGAUAAGGGCAAUAUUGAAAAGAAAAAAAUUCAUUAAAACCUAGUCUAGCAUCCCGAAAAUGUUGAAAGCCCCUUUUAUAGUGGAGGGCCUCGGAUUACAUCCAUUGAUCUAGAAUUCUAUCGGCGGACGAGAUCGCACCGCCUCAACUACCGACAUAAGUACUUAACUACCAUCUACCGACAUAAAUGAAAGGGAACAGACUCCCGUAAUCUAGCUGAAUGACAUGUUCGCCCGUCCUUGUAAUUCGGGGAGAAGACUUGGUGGGAAUCCGAGUGAGAGCAGGAGGUCCACGGGCGACUUGGGGUCGACCUUGGGGAACCUCUCGGGUCGUCCAUUUCUAGGCCCGUGACAUUCUCCCCCACUCAAUCGAGCGACGUCCUUGUCGCUCUCAGCUUGGCGGGCAGCCUUGCGGGCUUUGGCACGAUCUUUCUUAUGCUUGUUUCUCUUCGCUCGGACGCUCAUGAACGAAGGGCCACAUCCUUCGAUGAUGAAGUCGGAUGCGCGCGGCUCGGUCUUCGGCUUGGACGGAGCACGCGGUGCACACUCAACCUCGGGGAAGAGUGCUUGGAUAGGCAUGGCGUGUGUUGGAGUCGGAUUCAACUUGACCAGUGGCUUCACCUCGGACAGCUUGUUGAUGCGCAUGACGGCCUUCAAGCUCUUGUCGAGGCGUCGGAUUGACGCGAUGGUCUUGGUGUCGACCACCCCUUUGAUCAUGGGGAUCAUCGACGGGCAUUUUUGAUCGAGGAUCAUCAUACAUUUGGUCCUCAUGUCGAUCAUGGCUCCCACACUAUCGAAGAAUUGCAUGCCGAGUAUGAGAUCAUAAUCGUCAAGAGGAAUUACCUCGAACGACAUUCGUCCCUUCCAUCCGCCAAUCUUGACGUCUACGUCGGGUGUUGCUCCAACGCCAUGGAAGUCGCUCAAAUUGAUGGGCUUGUACGACUUCCCGGACGGCUCGAUGUGUAAACCCAAGACCUUUGUGACCUCGGUCGACAUGAACAUGUUGGAUGCGCCGGUGUCGACCAAAGCGUAAAGCGUUCGGCCGCCCACUUCGACCUCCACAAAGAACAUGUCGGUGUUUGGAGCGAUUCCUUCUCCUUUGGUCGGCGAUCGGGCUUGGCCGGAAUUGAUCAUCUUCACAGCCCCGAUCCGGAUCUGCCGUUUGUCUUCUUUAGGCGCCUCCUUCUCUUCCUCGAUGGCAAGGAGGGCAUUGAUUCGACCCUUCUUCGGGCACUUUUGGGUCCAGUGCGGACCUUUGCAAAUAAAGCAAGGAGAGGGUGGAGGUUGAUCGAACUUACUCGCGUAGUCGAUCGGUGGUCGACCUCUUUGGAAGGACGGCUUAGAAGUCCCUUCUCCCCACAUCUUGGCUCGGCCGCCUUGAUCAUGCGCGCCACGGGGAGAGCUUCUCGUGUCGUCUUCGGGUCGAUCCGACCUCCAGUCUCUUGCUCGGUUGUUCCUCGGCUCAACCUUGGUGAGGUCGAUGAGAGACUCGGCCAUGCUUAGCGCACGCGCUAGGCUAUUCACGUCCCGCCGCUUCAGCUCAAGUUGUGCCCAUGGCUUCAGUCCAUCCAUGAACGCUCCGAAAGCCUCCUCUUCGCUUAGGUUGCGAAUUUGGAGUUUGAGCUCCGUGAACUCCUUCACGUAUUCUCGGACCGUACCUCUUUGCUCGAGGCGAUGGAGCUUGCUUCGGGCUUCUUGUUGAGCGAACUCGGGGAAGAAAUAGUCGCGGAAUUCCCUCACGAAGUCGUCCCACGUGUUCACGGGAUCGGCGCCUCGUCGAAUCUCAUCGCACCUAUUACGCCACCACAGCAUCGCCGUAUCAGACAGGAACAUGGAAGCGGUUCGUACCUUGAUCGACUCGUCGUGUAUGUUGGCGGCGCCAAAGUACUGCUCCAUGCUCCACACGAAGUUGUCCACCUCUUGGGCGGACCGGUUGCCUUUGAACUCCUUGGGCUUCGGAACCUCAAUCUUGGUCACCGUUUGAGCAGGCACCGCACCAUUCGUGAUGCUAAGUUUACACAGGGCGAGCUCGGUCUUGAGUUCUCGGAUCUCCGCCUUCAUGGCUUCGACCUCAUCCCUACACGGGCUUACCUCUUCGAUUAUUUGGACGCGCUCGUUCAAACCAUCGAUCGAUGCUUCGAGAGCUUCAUCCUUAUCGAACAAUGGAGCCGUGGCUUGGUUGAUGCCGGUCGUGAAGUCUUCACGGAGCGAGCCCUCAACCUCCAUGAUCCGAUCUCGCACAUCGUCAAGACCUUCCAUGAGUUCGAGCACAGCACUCCGAACCUUCCCGAUCUUUUCAUCGAACGUGGCCGCAGCAUCCACCGAGGCGUCUCUCUUCUUUGAUUUGCUGCGCGUGUCCUUGACUGGCACAGCCUCUCCAACUAUGUUCGCAUCUUGGCUCGACAUUCCUUCAAACAGUUGGUGCUCUUCAAUCUCUUGGAUACGGAUCUCUCUUUAGCUCUGAUACCACUUGUCACGGGCCGAUCGAUAGGGAUCGUGACCGCGCGGCGACUCGGGCACUCUAGGAUCGGGAUGGAUCGCCAAAGCGCCUAAGCCAAGCCUUACACAGUCGAACGCUCACUCGCUCGCCUUACCCGGAUCGUAGAGAGAGAAAGUAUCUAGAGAGAAGAGCUCUGGAAAGAAGACUUGCUUUGUAUUGCGGAAGUAGUGGAUGUUUACAAAUGAAGGAGGACACCCCUUUUAUAGUGGAGGGCCUCGGAUUACAUCCAUUGAUCUAGAAUUCUAUCGGCGGACGAGAUCGCACCGCCUCAACUACCGACAUAAGUACUUAACUACCAUCUACCGACAUAAAUGAAAGGGAACAGACUCCCGUAAUCUAGCUGAAUGACAUGUUCGCCCGUCCUUGUAAUUCAGGGAGAAGACUUGGUGGGAAUCCGAGUGAGAGCAGGAGGUCCACGGGCGACUUGGGGUCGACCUUGGGGAACCUCUCGGGUCGUCCAUUUCUAGGCCCGUGACAUAUGUCUCGAGUUGUCUAUUAUAACUUUCUCACAUCACCACCGCCAUACAACCAUGCCCAACAAAGUUGUAUGAAAAAUGAUAUCUAUUUUUAGAAAGAAUUUCACUCCAAGUUCACCUCAAGACGAUUUUCCAAUGAAAAUGGUAUCUACUUUUGUUCCAAACCUGAUUCACCAUUAGAAUCGACAAAUAUAAUUGGAGAAGUUUAUCAUUGUUAAGAAAUUGAUUUUCUUUUUCUAUUGACUACUUUUGAUAUAUCCUAGGUUAAUCAUCUUGGCUUCCAACUUUUUGAUAAUAUGUUAUGAUCUUUUCGAGGCAUAUUUCUGCCAAAAAUAAAGAACUGAGAUGACUGGACAUUCAAGAUCCAACUAUGCGAUCCUUUGAUGACACCAAUCAUUCUCAAUAAUCUUGGCUUUCUCGCAUCUUUAAUCAGCCUAAUACUUGACUUGGAGGAAUCAUCACUUUCUCUAGGACCCUUUUCUUCAAAUCAAUUUUGAUGUCCUAGGCAUAUUUUUAUGAUUGGUAGUGAGUAUUUUUUAGCUGAUUCCAAAAGUUAAAAUACUCUGAUUCCAUGUUAUGUUAGGAAUUUCACAUAUUAUACUGUUUGACCGUGUUAAUGAUAGAAAGUGUUAAUGAUAGAAAUGAUAGAAUGUCUUCCUUAGAAUUGUAUGGAAUCACUUGUAUGGGCAGUCAAGCUAUUUCUUUUUCACUGAUUUCAAGAAAGGACGCAUUCAUUGUUGCAAUUACAAAGCUUCAUUGUCCAUGUUUUUAAGCCAUUUCUAGAAAAUCUCAAUUCUACCACCGACAGCGUUCAUAUUUUGAAGCAUAAUUCUCAAUGUAGCGUGCUCUGCUAAUCUUUGCCUCCCCUGUAAUUCUCAAUAGAAAUACAACUCUUUGUGUAUUUGUUCCUUUAUGUAACCUAAGAAAUCUCUUUUUGUUUCAUUAAAAAAAAUAGCCACUCGAAUUAAAACGAAAACUAACAAAUAAAAGGAUAACUAACAAAAACUCUCUUUCGUAAAGAACAUGGUUAACUCAUAAUUGUGGAACUAUACAACUGAAACUAUCCAAUUCACCCAAAACAUGAUUAUUAAUCACAAUAAUUAUAAUAAUUACCAGGUGCAACAUUUUUUCUUACUCAAAUGAAUAAUGUUGUAGAGCAAAGACUGUAGCAGAAAAUGUGAAUCCGAGUUAUGCUCAAAUAUCUAGCGAUGCUUGCUCUUCUCUAUUAAAAAAAAAAAAAGAAAAUCAUUUUUUUCGGGGCAUGAUGCAAUGAAGGAUUUGUCGAUUAAAUUGGAGCUUCUUCUUUUUUUGUGGUUGAUUACUUAGUAUUGAACAUAAAAAGAACUCAUUGAAAAUGACACAGUGCCUCCAUUUCUGAGAUAUGGCAAGUAUUGUGGGCUCCUGUACAGCGGAUGUCCAGAGGAGAGGCCCUACAACGGCCUUGACGCUUGUUGCAUGAAGCACGACGCCUGCAUUCAAGACAAAAACAGUGAUUCUCAGCAUCGAUUCCUUCAACUUUUCUUCAUUGAAUUGAUUGAUAUAACUAGUCGCUGGCCCGCGUGUUUGCAUGGAUGUAUUUUAAGAGGACGAUUGUGGAAGCCAUUUUCGCUGGUGAACAAUAGCUUCACUCGUCUAUAUAUGCAUGGAUUCACAUUCCUAAAAAAGCAUAUUACAGAGUGGAGAUAGAGAAAAUGGCGUAAGGGACUAAUUGGUCAAAAGAAAGAAGAGACAUGAGUAAGAUUAAUGUGCCUACGAGGACUUUGCUCUUCCACAAUGUCAUUAAACUAUCUCUUCAUUCAUGAGCCAACUUUAAUCACUAUUCUGAGGUCUGGGGGAGGAGAUUGUGAGGGAGUAAAUGCUCUUGUGAGGGCAAUGACAUCAACAUUUGCUUUUUAUUACAAAAAGCGCAUGUCUAGAUUUUCUCUUUCUCAUGGACUGGUCGGGGAUAAUAACUUCAACUAAUACUCUGGCUUGUCAAAUGUGCUAAGUGAUGGCAAUGAAAUCAUAUCGCGUGAUUAUUCAAUUUGACCUUUCAUUCAUAGAGCAGGUCGUGUCAGCCUCAUAGAAAUAUUGGAAUUGUGAUGCUCAGACCUGGCGGGGUGUUGUGCAGAUGACUAUUUGAGCCAGAAGUGCAGCCAAAACUUACCGAACUGCAUGACGAACUUCAAGAACUCCAGAGGAAGAACGUUUAAAGGAAGCAAAUGCGAAGUCGAGGAUGUCGACGUCCUCUCCAUUGUCAUGGAAGCUGCGUUGCUUGCCGGGAGAUACCUCCACAAGCCCUGAAUCUCUCUGUCCACGUUCCACGGAUAUAUCAACUCUGAUCCCUUCACUCACUUCGUGAUCAUCCCUUUCUUCUUUGAUUUUUUUUCCCUUCUGGCGGUUUGUCACCACCAAAUGAAGAACGAACAGAAGGAUGCAACUUCGACACGUAAAGGCAUGACGAAAAAAUAAGAGAGCGCAACAUGAUUCCUACCAGUUUUUCCACCGUACACGAUGCAACUUUUGACAGGAUCAAAGCCAUAAAUCCACCAUCAGAUUGAGAAAUCUAUGUAUUAGCAUCUCAAUUGACAAAGAGGGCAGAAUCCAUGGAAAUUCAACAUCUCAACAUCAGUGUCUUGGAUCUGAGAAAAGUAAAAUUCUUACGAUGGUGCCUCCAGUGACUUAUCAAUCCAUGACUAAAUAACUGGACAUAAGCUGCUAAAAAUGCAAUCGAAGCCACAUAGACAUGAGUAGUUGCCAGGAUCAAUCAAUUGCUAAAAGUAUUAUUUGACAUCAGCUGAAUAAAAGGUUUCAACAGGGGUUACAUACAUUGAGUCUACCUCCAACUAAUACUUUAAGCCUUUGGUUGGACCUUUUGCGAACGAUGAAUGAAGUUCUGUUUUAUUAUGCAUUAAUGAAUGAAAGAAUCACAUAAUAAACAUCUGGUUCUCUAGGAAACCAACUUUAAUAGAGCUUGGAAAAAAGUAAUAAUCUGUUUGCAUAAGAACAAAUUCAUGUCAAGGAUGAAGAGUCUUACUUUGUGACUGGUGACGUAUAAUGAUAUGCAAUCUACUUCAAAGGCAUUCUUAUCUAUUUUCAUUCCCACCAGGAUCACAAGCCAGAUGAUGCUGAAGCAUCACAUUCAAGUGGUCGACCAAUUUCCCCAAGAUUCGUUGAAAUAAGACAGAAAACAAUAAGACAUCGACAUGAAAAGCCCCAUGCCAGACUGAAAAUACUAAUGUGAGAUGGGUAUUCUCAACUGAAUAUGAUAAUAAAAGAACGCGAUUUCUCUCGUCAGGAUUCAAAGACACGCAUCAAACUACUGUGCAAGUGAUAAUAAAAGAACAUGACAACUAUCUUCCAAGUCAAUUUGCCCUCCUAAUAUUGCCAGUGAGCUAUUCCUAUGUCAAGAUUACAGUUUUAGUAGGAAGUCCUCGCUCCUGAUGCAGUGCCAUUUAAACACUCCACAGAAUUAAAAAUCAUAUGCACAGCUCCUCCCACUUCAUUUCAGAGCCAUAAACAGCUGGGUAGUACUCGUGCUCUGAAGAUUUUUUGUCCCCACCAUCAGCCUAGCCAAAAAUGGUGCACAUUUCUGGCUGAAACCAAUUCCAUACAGUGGCAGCUGUAACGAAACAUUCUGAUUUGAGCUGUAGUUCAAGAAAAUAUGGCAUUUAGAGAUCUAGAUCAGCUCUCAAACAUUAAACGACUAAAGCAAAUCACCUUUCUAGCCACCCAUUGAUUACUAGUCAUGUUUAUCCCAAAAACAUGAAAGCAAUAUGGUUGAUUUAAGGACUUCCUGCAUACUUCUGGCUUGGAUCUCACACUGUUAUCCACAAUACAGUGGAAAUCCUCUGUUCUUCUAAAGCCUCUAGGGCAUAAACAUCGUCAUCACCAAACAAUGACUAAACUAAAGUGAUAAAUUGCGAAUAAUGUUAAGAUACAAAUUUGCAAGACGAUUUAUACCUGCAUGAAGCAAAACAAUGAAAGAGCGGCUGCAUGAUUUGUACUGGAUUUCCACUGUUGAUGAUAACACUUUNNNNNNNNNNNNNNNNNNNNNNNNNNNNNNNNNNNNNNNNNNNNNNNNNNNNNNNNNNNNNNNNNNNNNNNNNNNNNNNNNNNNNNNNNNNNNNNNNNNNNNNNNNNNNNNNNNNNNNNNNNNNNNNNNNNNNNNNNNNNNNNNNNNNNNNNNNNNNNNNNNNNNNNNNNNNNNNNNNNNNNNNNNNNNNNNNNNNNNNNNNNNNNNNNNNNNNNNNNNNNNNNNNNNNNNNNNNNNNNNNNNNNNNNNNNNNNNNNNNNNNNNNNNNNNNNNNNNNNNNNNNNNNNNNNNNNNNNNNNNNNNNNNNNNNNNNNNNNNNAAGAACGAAGAAUCUCAUGUUACUUGACUGAAGACAACAGAUAUCCUUUUGGAGGCAUUCUGACCUUCUAUAUUCAUGUCAUGAUCACAAGCCAGAUAACACUAAAGCAUUACAAUUACUUUGCUCAAACAACUUCCUCCAGUUGCUGGAAUUAAGACAAGAAAAUUAUAACGUGUCAAAAAAAAGCCCCAUCCAAACUGAAAAUACUAAUGGAAGCAGGUUAUCUCCACAGAAAAACUACACUAUACCUGCUAUAUUUUUUGUUCAGUAAAUGACUUCAGCGAUCUCCAGCAACAGAUCUUAGUCAUCCUCCAUAGAAUCUGAAUAUUCUUCAUAAUCCUGAAAGCAGAGCAGGGUUACCAAGUCAAUCUUUUUGGUGUUGCUCACAUCAAAUUGUAUCCAGUACUAUCAAACGUUAGAUCUAACGAUAGACAGCAAACCUCGGUCAGCUUCUCGUUGUUGCUUUCCUCAAUAAAAAAAGUCUGGUAAUUUCUUGAGUGACUCGCACCCACUCCUAUCAAAGCGCAGGAAUUUACUGGGGCAGCGAAUUUCAACUAAGCUUUUGCAAUCCCUAACAUUCAACCACGUUAGAUGCUCCGACUUUGAAAGGUCCAGUACUUGAAUGUGCUUACGCCAAGAAAUAUCCACCCAUUCCAAGGAUCCCAAUUUUUCAAGGCCUUCUAUCACAUGGAGAUGAUCCACCUUUUCAUCAAAUGAUAGAUAUAGGCACAACUUUCUUAGGGAUUUUAAAGAUUCCAGUCCAUCCAAUUUCUUCAGCCCAUUACAGGCCGAGAGCCCUAAUUCCGACAAAAAUUCCAAAUCUUUUUGAUUUGGAAACCUUUCCACUUUGGGACAUUUAUUAACGUCAAGUAUCCGUAUGCAGGAGGGGAGCUUUGGGAUCUCUUGAAGAGACACGCAAUCCCAAAGCCAGAACUUCUGUAGAUGCUUCAGGCGAGAGAGCGAUGGGAUGCUUUGAAGAGACCCGCAGUCGCAAAGGUAGAGCUCUUGUAGAUGCUUCAGGCGAGAGAGCGAUGGGAUGCUUUGAAGAGAGUCACAAAUGAAAAGUUGGAGUGUCUGUAGAUGCUUCCGGUGAGAGAGCGAUGGCAGCUCCUUGCUCCGACCGGUGAGCCCCAGGAAUUUUAAGCUAAAAGGAGGUUUUGGGAGUGACUCAAGCUCUUCACACUCAUCUAAUUGGAGGUGCUCGAGAGAAGAAAGCUGAUCUAAGUUUUCCGGCAAGCCAGAAAUUUUUGUGCACUGUAAAUCAAGGGUUUUUAGAAAAGACAAUCCACCUUUAUCAAGGAGAAUCCGUCCUUUUAGUUUACGGCAUGAGGAGGCAUCGAGCUCUUGGAGGCUCUGCAAUUUUCCAAUAGAGCUCGGUAUCCUUUCUAUCUCACAACCCUGAAUUUUCAAAAUUUUCAAUUUGUUCAAUUUGCCAAUGGAUUCAGGUAGUUCCUUAAUCCUUGUACCUGACAAGUUCAGCUCAACCAACUCUCCCAACUUCCCAAUUGAAGAAGGGAUCUUUUUUAAUGACAAAUGUUUUGACUCCCAAUCCCACUGGGCACUAAGCCUCUUCAGAUUCUUUAACGAUCCUAUACAUGAAGGGAUUUCUUUUAUCCGAGUCUUGUCUACGACAAGUUCCUCCAAAUGUUCUAGUUUGCCAAGUUGUUCAGGUAACAUCUUGAGACUUCUACAACCACUCAAGUUCAAGAGAAGGAGGCGCUCGGCAUAUUGAAUGGAAUGGUCGAUUUCCUUCAAAUUGGCACAACCUUUUAGGAUUAGAGACCGUAAAUUUUCAAAAGUGGAGAGAUUAGGGUUGCUCUUCAAUUUCAAGCACCGCGAAAGAUUGACAACUUUCAACCUCUCCAUCUACAAGAAAGAAACAUGUUUCAAGAUUAGCAAUUAGAAAUAUAAUGAUUUAUCAUCAAAUGUAACAAAGAAAAAGCCUUUUUUCAUAUUUACCUUAAUUGAACUCCAUCCUCUCCAAUUUUCACUAACACCCCUAACACGAUCGUAAUGAACACCAAAUAAAUCAGGUAUGACUAAUUUGGUCAUCUCCAAAGAGUCGUGGCAUCCCUCCCACUCUAGCCAUCUUAAUUCAGUGAGUGAUUCUUCGAAAUCUCCACCAAAAUCCACAUCCUUCACAUGAAGGAACUUCAAGUUAGGCAUUUUUUUAAAGCUUUCUCGCCUCAUGAACUCUUUGGAGCCCCUUUGGUCUAGACGUAGUGCCUCAAUAUUUUCAUUUUCCACCUACAAAAAGAAUAAAAUAAAAUUGAGGAUUGUAAAUACCAUUCGACCUCCUUUUGUUCGUAUACUCUUGCAUGAUAUUGUGACCAAUGCAUUUUGUCUACACUCAUAGAGAAAUAGAAAUAUAUCUAAUCUUUUACAAUUACAUGAUCAUAUAAUACGUCGAUCUUCACUCGUAUGCCCCAAUUUUUUAUGUUUUAUGUGAAACUCCAAUAUUAAAUUAGUCUGGUUUUCUUAUAGAUUUUGAAAUUAAAUUUUGUAACAUACAUAGUAUUGACAACCGAUGUCCCUUUGACAUAUAUGGAACACGAUUGUUCCAUGACACGCGAAGAGCUCACAACAAAACUAAAAAAUCCUCAACUGUGACACUUCCUUUAUAAAUUAAUGUAUCUUGAACAAUCUUCCAUCAUUAAUUUAUGUAAUUUGUUAAUUUGACUAAAAGUGACACUAAAAGAAAAGCUAAAUCCACAACUGAAAAUUUGAAUUUAAUUUUUUUAAAAUUUUACUAGUGCUUUAACUAACAAGAUAAGUAAUGAUUUUCUAAUAAUUAUCGAGUAAGCGUCAUCAAAUUAUGGUGUGUUGUUUCAGGUAAUCAACUAACCUAAUUAUGCAUUUCUAGAUUAUUCUAAAAAUCGAUAUAUUUCAAGGUGUUUCUUCAAUUAUGUUAAUGACAUUCACUAAGUCAUACAAUUUAGAGUAAAUUUUCAAUUUUCUUUUUGUUAAGUACAUGCAAUAAUGCAUUGACAUUAUCAUAUUGGAUAUAAAUUGUGAACAUGCAUGGCAAAUCCUAAAAAACAAAUUGUAAAAAUUCUUCGUACAAAUAAAACCACUGCAUAAGAUCUUAUUACUUCAAAUUGAACAAAAUCUAAAGUUGAUAGCAUAGUUAUGAGAUGCAAAUAAUUGAACUAAAAUCUUUCUUUUUGCUGCCAUAAAGUAGAACCUGCGCUCGAGCAAAUAGCAUAUAUUCACGAUUGAAAAUUAAAUAUGGGAUAAUGCAUUAGAUUCUUGAGAAGGAUACUAUUACAUAUAUCAUACCAAAGUACAUUUCAAGACUGAAAAAUGUGGAAAAUAUGUGAUCCAUGAAUUAAGCAGAUCCAUUUAGGUGAAAAAGAAGAAUAAGAAGAAGUAAAUUUGACAGUUUAACAGGUGGUUAUAUACUCUUAAUUAACAUUUAUCAACCCAAUAUUUAUCGUCACAUCAAUGUACUUCAAAAAUUAAAUUCCCAAUAUAUUUUGGGACGAUAAAAUGAAAAUAAAAUAAAAUGAAGAAGUAAUGAUUGACAGUAAAGUUUUUGUUAAAUUUGUAAUGACUUAUAUACAUUUUAGAGCCAGAUAUAAGUGGCAUAAAGUAAAUUUUCGACCUGUGUGCUUCAACAAGUAAUAUGGUAAGAAUAAGUAACAUAUUUGCUAAAAAAGGAUGUGAAUAUUUUCUGAGUCUCAUAGUCACGAGUGCAAACUUUUCAUAAACUAUGGGCCAAAAUUCGAUGUAGCUUUUACCAAGAAAAUGCUAAUCACAUGUUGAGAAUGGUCAAUGAUCUAGAGUAAAAGAACGAUGAUGAUAAUAAUGUAAGGGACUACGAUUGGAGAACAUGGGAGAGGACAAAAGUAGACAUCAUCAUUACCUUUUGGAGAACAUGGGAGAGGACAAAAGUAGACAUCAUCAUUACCUGACGACGUAGAACUCUCAUGACUUUCUCCUUGUCCCAUAGUCUGCUACAAUCCCAAGGCUUCUUAUCUGCUGGACAGGCGAUAACUUUACCUAGAUCUCUUAAUUGAUCAUGCAUUCUAAAUCGAUUCUCGUCAUCAAUUUUUAUUAACGAACGGUUAAUCAAUAUUCGCAAUCCGGCUAUUGGGAAGAAUUUGAGAUCCGCCCAAAAGUAGGUGACAUUUGUUUUGUCAGUCCCAAUGAAAAAACAUGCAAUGUCUAGAAACAUCUGCUGCACCUCAGAUGUUAAUGUAUCAUAACUUAUCCUCAACUUUUCUUGCACAGUCUCAUUAGGUGCAUUCCUCAAUUUCUUCAAAGUCUCUUCCCACUCUAUUCGAUCUUUCUCUUUGAGAAGUGAACCUACAACCAUGAGAGCCAAGGGAAGCCCUCCUGUGGUGGCAACAAUAUUACUAGAAAGAGCAGCGAGAUCAGUGGGAGGUUGUUCCCCUUCAAAUGCAUAUUUACUAAACAGAAGCAAAGAUUGUUAACUGUUCAUUUCUUUGAGUUCAUAAAUUUCAUAGUCAGACUUAAAGAGAGUCUUGUCUCGACAUGUAAUUAUGAUCCUACUUCCUGAUCCGAAAUUACAACCUCCAAUCAAUUUAUCGAGGUGGUCUCGACGAUCCACAUCAUCAAGAAGAAUAAGUACCUUCUUAUUUUCACAACUUGAUCGGAUCAUUGCAAUCCCUAUAUCAGACUUAUGCACGCUAUGGGGAGGGCUUUUUGUUAUCUCUGAGAUGAGUAGAGAUUGGACAUGCUCGACGCCCUUGCGAUUAAUUUCUUCUCUAAUAUCCUGGCGAGAGCUGCGGCACUGAAACUUGUCAAAAAGCUUUUUAUAGAUGAUCGUAGCUAGAGUUGUCUUACCGAUGCCGCCCAUCCCCCAAAUCCCAAUAAUUCGAGUGUCCGGGCGAGCAAGAUCCACCAAUUCCAUAACCUCAGCCACACAAUCCUCAAUUGCAACCAAGUUUUCAGGAAGAUCUGGUGGGAGAUCAUGUUGCUGCUCACGCAAUAUUAUUUCUACAAGUUCAUUUACCAAUUCCCCUUCAUGCCUGCCAAAUAACACAACACAUGAGAACUUAUUAAUGGCUCCACAAAACAUGAAUUGAGGAUGAUAAAUAGAAAGUUCUUCUUCCAACAAGGAUCUGUUAAAAGAGGUAAACGAAGUACCCAUCAGCAAAUUUCUCUGAUUCGAAUACUCUAAGAUCAACUGCUUUUUUGAGAGCUAGCGGCCCCUGUUGCUCGACCUCCUUCUCAAAUUUAUCCUUACAGGAUUUGUAGGCCUUUCCAAAGGCCCCCUUUAGUUUUCGGACAUGCUUGGGUUUCACCUUGUAAAGCACGGGCAAGACUAUCUGUCCUCUGCUUUCCUUGCACUCCAUUAUAUGAAUGAGCUCGUGAAGGCACCAUUCGCUAGCAGCAUAAUUUUCCGAGAUGACUGGGAUUGAAAUCUUAGAGCGCUCAAUUGCACUGAUGAGAUUUUCAUCAAUUUUCUCACCAAAGGGGAGGUCCUCAUCAUCUCUGACACAAAGUUCGGAUGGUACCUCAGCCACAGCUUUGAGUCUUUGGUAGAGUGAUCGACGAAACCUUUGCNNNNNNNNNNNNNNNNNNNNNNNNNNNNNNNNNNNNNNNNNNNNNNNNNNNNNNNNNNNNNNNNNNNNNNNNNNNNNNNNNNNNNNNNNNNNNNNNNNNNNNNNNNNNNNNNNNNNNNNNNNNNNNNNNNNNNNNNNNNNNNNNNNNNNNNNNNNNNNNNNNNNNNNNNNNNNNNNNNNNNNNNNNNNNNNNNNNNNNNNNNNNNNNNNNNNNNNNNNNNNNNNNNNNNNNNNNNNNNNNNGUGCUUGCGUUGCUCCCCCCCCCCCCCCCCCCCCCUCUCUCUCUCUCUCUCUCUCUCUCUGUCUCUGAGACUCGACUGGUGUGGAUAGUUUUUGAGGUGAUGGAAGAAGGGGGUGAGUACAGUGGUUUGCUUGUCAACCAGGAAGAUGUCUCCGUUCGGCUGCAGGGGUUUCAGCUGGGAAGCGUACUCGAGCUGGUGGAAGAGUAAAAAGAGAAAGCAAGAGGCGAGGCAGGAAAACGAAGCAGGAUUGUCGUUUGAUAUAGUUCAUGUGUUUAUAUUGGGAUCAAGAGACGCGUUCAGAAUUUUGCCAAAAAAAAAUUAAUUGUUAAUCGGUUAGAAGCAAUUCUGGUGGUCCUCGCUCCUAGCCCUAGAAGUCUGCUCCCAACUGGCCUUAACAACCACCCCCAUUAUAUAAAAUUUAAAAAAAUGAAAGAAAAUAACAUAUUAGCUAUAUUGCCACUAUAAUUAUAUUACCGUGAUCACAAUAAUUAAUUAUUCAAGAAAUAUACUUUAUCUUCAUUAGAAUAAGAGAUUUCUGCAAUAUUGAAAGUAAUUAUACCCCAUUGAGUUAAAGCCAAAAAAUAUUUAGUUCAAUUAAAGUAGAAAAGUAAAAGGAAAAUUGUACAAAAACAAGUUCGAAUAGACAUUCUUCAUGAAAAUUAUCGCCUGCCAAUUACCCAUUAAAAAUGCUUUGGUGAACCACUUUUAUAUUUAUCUAAUAAGAUAGAUCAACCAUAUCUAUUUUAGAUCUAUAUAUGAAUCAUAUUUCAUUUUAUAAGCUUAAUUCAUAUCUCAAAGAAAUUAUGCUCUUUUUUUUGGCAAGCACAUCAACAAAUUUGCUUUUAAUUAACUUGUGGACUUCGGUAAAUGACAAAAAAUAAUAAACAUAACUAUCGGACACUCAUGUGCUUACUUUUCUUUGAUUUUUUUUGUCCCAAAUGACAUCAAACACUAUUUGCUUUGACCCUGCGUCGCUGUUUUGGGCUUGACCCAUCUAUCUUCAACUCUCCUAUGCCGAUCGUCGAGGUCGCCUUAGUCUAGUUUUGCGAGUUGUUUCUCCUUGGCCCUACGUGGCCUUUUGUUUAGUCUGUCUGUUUUUAGUUAUUGCUUCGACCCUGCGUCGCUGUUUUGGGCUUCCUGUUUCGGCCCUUGCUUGAGUUGACCGCGUUGCGGUGUUUUGUGUCUGGCGCCCUUUCACUCGAUUAGAGGCUUCUGUCUUGUUGAGUGCAAGUUUUGUGGUGCCGGAUCAUGUAUAUUUGCUGAUUUUAGCUCAAUAUAUCAUUAUCCUUUACCAAAAAAAAAAAAAGCACUAUUUGCUUUGAGAUGACAGCCACCCUCACAUUACUAGAAAGCAUUCACCAAUUAUUUUUCUCAACCAGCCCCACCACUCCUCUUUAUGAGUCUCAAAGGCCAUCAUGACCCUCUGCCUUAUUACUGUCCAUGUGAAACGCACUGGUUGCCAGUCUAAAAGAAAAAGGAAAGAACUUUAAAGCACUGACGCAACCGGAAUAUUCCCAGGAACGUUCGCGCGAAGUUUCGUUCGAAGAGCCUUAUUUCCUCUCGAUUGAACUUCCUUGUAGCCGGGCAUCAUUGGAUCGACAAAUCAACAUCUAUUGGAAGUCUAACGGUAGGAAACUACAUGCGAGAAUAGAGCUCUUGAAGUCACAUGCAAAGGUAAAGCUAAGGUUCCUAAAGUCAAGGAUUUUGUCUUUCAAUAUUGUGGGCUUCAAUGUUCAGGAAAUUUUGGCUACACAUUUCGCUCAUGGAGAUGUAAAUGGAGCAGUGAUAGUUUUCAAGCAAUAUAUUAACUACCACUGGACAUGAGAAAAAAUUAUUAUCAAAAAUGAUAUGGUGCCCGCAUUGCUGAGAUACGGCAAGUAGUGCAGGCUUCUGUUCAGGAUCGAGACACUACAAAGGCCUCGACAAUUGCUGCAUGAAGCGCGAUACCCUCUUUCUCCUUUCUUUUCCUUUAAUUUAUUUUCGUUAAAUAUCAUUUUCUUUCCUAUCAAAGGAACCUCCUAUUCCUUUCGAUCUUGAGAUUGCGUAAUUGUAUAUUUUCUUGAAGAAAUAAGAAUGUUGUGUUUGGGUGUGAAAGAACUAAGGCAAUAAGAAAAUCGAAGAUAGAGAAGAAAAUAAGAAAUAAAUGAAGGAUAUAGAGAUGAGGUGUGAAUGGAAAUGACCGUUUAACUUUACAUAGGGAAGGGUACGUGUGCUGAGGACGAUCAUAUAUUUCGACUUACAAGUCAAAAGUGGUAUCUUAUCUCAAUUAAGUUUGGACAAAGAACGGUGGGCACCCCUUCAUUCACGGUUACUAAGCAAUACAUUGCUACAUGUAAUUACACCUUACACUACAUUGGUUGGGUGGCCUUUUUCGAUCAUUGUAUUUCGCAAUGGAAAGAAUCGGUGUUUCUAUCUCAUGAGUCGGGGANNNNNNNNNNNNNNNNNNNNNNNNNNNNNNNNNNNNNNNNNNNNNNNNNNNNNNNNNNNNNNNNNNNNNNNNNNNNNNNNNNNNNNNNNNNNNNNNNNNNNNNNNNNNNNNNNNNNNNNNNNNNNNNNNNNNNNNNNNNNNNNNNNNNNNNNNNNNNNNNNNNNNNNNNNNNNNNNNNNNNNNNNNNNNNNNNNNNNNNNNNNNNNNNNNNNNNNNNNNNNNNNNNNNNNNNNNNNNNNNNNNNNNNNNNNNNNNNNNNNNNNNNNNNNNNNNNNNNNNNNNNNNNNNNNNNNNNNNNNNNNNNNNNNNNNNNNNNNNNNNNNNNNNNNNNNNNNNNNNNNNNNNNNNNNNNNNNNNNNNNNNNNNNNNNNNNNNNNNNNNNNNNNNNNNNNNNNNNNNNNNNNNNNNNNNNNNNNNNNNNNNNNNNNNNNNNNNNNNNNNNNNNNNNNNNNNNNNNNNNNNNNNNNNNNNNNUUUGAGAUCAAAGUUGGAUACUCGCACUGGGAUCAGCUGACUUGUAGAGCACCGAACCGGCAUGGUGGGAGGCACGAAAUGAAGCUUCUUGGGCCAAGAGAGCAGAAAAAGCAUGGUAUCAAAUAAUACAAGCAGCUUUUCAUAGAUAUUGAAAUAGGACCCGUUUAUAGUUACAGUUUCAAAACUUCCUUCGCCAUGACUUAAGUCAAUUUUGGAAUGUCUCAGUUACUUGAACGGGAGUGUCUGGACCCUGAAGCAGUUUGCUCAAAGUGGUGUGUUCUGCCAAUCUUUGCCUUCCUCUGCUAAUAACCGCUACCCGCAAAAGGGGUCCUUCCAAGGUCCCUAGGCGACGAAAAUGGAACGGGAUUAGGGGAGCAUGUUAGUCGUUUGAUUGAGAGAGGAAGCUGUGCACUUUCAUAUGCAUUCUAUAAGCUACUUGCUCAGGUGGUCCAGUUAGGAACAUUCUAGGAAAACUACAAUUCUUCAUAAAGAAUAAGUUCCUUCAAAAUCUCGGGCACUAAAGAAAAAUUAUCAUUCAUAAAAAGUUAUUAAUAAUAGGAGCCUCAACGUCACUGGCACUCGUAGAGAAAGUAUGAUCUCUUUCUUAUAUACAAAUGUUACUUACUAGCUAGAGAUAGAUCCAUCAUUAAGUGUCAAGUGUACCCAUUACCCAUUGAAAUUUUUUGGCAAGUCACUAUUACUUUUAUUUAAUAAGUUGAUUCAUUGUAUCCAUUUUAGAUCUAUAUAUGAAACGUAUUUUAUUUUAUAGGCUUAACUCAUAAUUCUAAAAAAUUAUGCUCUCUUUUUUAUGUGCAAGCACAUCAACAAUAUUGCUCUUAAUUAACUUAUGAACUUUGACAAUGACAAUGAUUUAAGAUAAUAAACUUAACUGUCGGGCACUCAUAUUUUCACUUACUUUUCUUUGAUUUUUGGCCCAAAUGACAUUAGCAAUAUUGUUUUUAAGACGACAACCACCAUCACAUUACUAAAAAGCAUUCGCCGAUUAUUUCCCUCGUCCAUCCUACCACCUAUCUGUCCAAGUCUCCAAGGCCACCGUGAACAAUUCCUUUUAGGGUCAAUGUGAAACGCGCUGGCUGAAGGUCCAAAAGAAAAUGGGAAAAGCUUAAAGCACCGACACGAUGGGUCGGUACGUUCCCAGAAAAUCCGUGUGAAUUAUUUGUCCUCUAAUUGAACCGUGUGGUGGGGGCAUCAUUGGAUCUGGAAAUCAACGUCCAUAGGCUACCAUGUAGCAAAUAAAAAGUCUACCAGUAGGAAAUUAUUUGGGGGACACACAAUAAAUGCUUUCACAGGAAAAUGAAGGAUGAGGAGCUCUUGACGUGUACGUGAAGCCAAGGUUCAUAAAGUUUAGAAUUUUGCCCAUCGAAAUUUGUGGGCUGAAACCUUUGUCGGUUAACGUGUGAAUCGGCCUCCCAUGUGAUGCACGGUUUGAUUUAUUACUACCAUUUGGUCAUCCUAAAAACUUAAUAAGAACCGUUCUUUAUCUAAAUCCUUGAGCUUCGUUGAUUACUCCGAACUGAGUCGUUGUGGGAUCCUAAUAUAAUUUCAAUUUAUAUAAGUAUUUUAAAAUCGCUAUCUUAUUAUUUGAUUCAUAAUUCAAUUCAUUUCUACCUUAUUUGUCAUAUUAAAAGUUCGUAAGGAAUUACUUUUUUAUCUAGACUCUCUGACUCUAACGAUUACUCUAUCCUUGUCAAAUCAAGUUAUUAUAUUAUUAAAAGAUAAAUUCUUAAUAAGGCGAGCAUCAAUUAUUUAAUUAGUGAUGAGAUGUUAUUUUGUUGCAUUUGCGUUAUCUCUCGCAUCACAUCUCUAGUGAAUUAUAAAUUUAUCUUCGUGCUCAGUUAAAGGAGUACCUUGUUGGCUUCUUUAGUAUUGUAGAAAUCAUAUUUACAAAACGAAUAGUACCUCUCCUUUCCCAUACUUUUCUCCUUCCUUUUUCUUUAAUUUAUUUUCGUUAAAUAUCCUUUUCUUUCCUACCGAAAGCAGCUCCUGCUCCUUUCGUGCGUGGCGAGAGAGAGGGGGGGGGGGGGUAAUCGUGGAUUUUCUUGAAGAAAUAAAGGUUGUGUCUGGGUGUGAAAAAACAACGACAAGAAGAAAAUUGAAAAGAGAAGAAAAGGAAAAUAACCUCAUGUUACACCUUACAAGUCACAAGUGGGAUUGUAUCUCAAUUAGAUCUGAAUGAAAAAUGACCAAAACCACUUCACUCACAAUUAAAUUGAUGAAGGAUGAUGAAUGGUAAUUUCAUGAUUUGAGUCACAAGCAAUGCAUUGCGACGUGUAAUUACACCUCCACUACAUCGGUCGGCGGCUUUUUCAACUAUUGUGUUUCGCAAAUGAAAAAAUCAGUCUUUCCAUCUCAUGUGGACUGUGCACACACAUCUAUAUCCCUCUUCCUUUCCUCCUUUCCUUUUCUGCUUAUUAUUCCAUGGACGAACAGAUGCAGAGAAACACAGAGACCUCCCUACUUCACUCAAUGAACCCGCAGUCCCUCUGUCUCAUCGUGAAUUCACAGUGCUUGAGCGACCUGUAAAGAAUCACACAUAAUAUUUGAUCGACUGCUUCCCGGGGGACCUUUGUCGCUUUCCUCUUCCGUCCCUACCGCUCUUCUUUUCCGAGUCUGCAAAGCCACGAGCCUCUUCCUUUUGGCGUUAUUGUGAAACACGCCGGUUGCCUCCAGCUUUUCAAAAGCUUAAGGAAAAGAGGGUUAAAGCACCCAUAUCAAUCAGUACGUUCUCUGAACGGUCCGCCUGAAGUUUUGUCCGAGUAGUCUUAUUCAAGUUCUGUGCAGCACGCUCAUCAUCGGAUCGAGAAAUUGACAAGAGAUUCCGUAAUUAUUAUCUUAGACGAAAACAAUUAUCAGAAAUCAAUGUCUACUUACCGAGGCUACUAUGUUGGAAAUCGUACGUCUCCCAUAUAGUAUGAAGCUAUAUGGGAGAUGGGAGACGUACGAUGGAUGCUUUCACAAGAAAAUGAAGAGGAGUUAUUGAAUUCAUCCGUGAAAGCUCAGGUUCUUUCAAAGUUUUUGGGCUCCAAACUAAGGAGAAAAAGAAAGAGUUGCCUCAUCCGUGCGGGAAAGAAACAAAAAAAAGUUCGCUUUGCUUCAAGUGUUUUUGCAGGUCAUGUGAGAAAAACAAUCUUAAUAGUAAGUGUAAGCUUUCACUCAUAAUAAAUUAUGUUUGAUAAUUGUGCGACAAUUCUUUUUUUAUGUAUGUUGUAUUCAUACUAUAUUUUCAGUUAAAUAUGUUCCAAGCUGAGUUGCUCAUUACAAUUUUCUCAUGUUGCGACUACCGUGCUUCUGUACCCGACAACAAUGAGUGAUAAAUCAUGUCUAAUUUCGGAAUGAAUUUUGCUGCAAGGUUACCUCCAAAUGCUUUUUCAACCAAACAACUAACGACCUUUUUUUUUUUUUAAAUAAAAAUUUGAAGACAUGGCAUAAUUUGUGCAAUGCUCAUAGCUCUUGAAGUAGGCAAGUGGGAACAAGACAUGAAUGGAUAGGCAGGAUCACAUGCAUCGUACCAAAAGCCACAUACAUCAUACUCGUUAAUAUUUUUUGUAUUUUAAACCGGUUAUCACAUCAGAAAAAUCGUCAAAUCAAAUAUAAUCUUAUUAUAUAGAUAUUAAUUUAAUCUUAAAUUUUACAAUUUCAUCAAUUUAAUUCUAAAUAUUUAUACAAUAUUUCAAUAUAGCCCUUGUGAUCAAUUUUUAAUGAAAAUCACUGGACAAUCUAAGAUAAUUAAAUCACCAUAUCAAUGAUUUUCGAUAGAAAUAGGCCAUAGAGGUUAUAUUGAUAUAUUAAACAAAAGUUUAGAUGAUUAAGUUGAUAAAAUUGUUAUAUUCUACCAAGAUUGUUUUCGGAAGUGACGCGUGAUGCAAUAGUGACGAUAUGGCACUAGUGCUGAAAUUAUUGGAAGCCUUCCAUGAGGUUUGCUCUCUGGAGUCAUUGUGAAAAUAUGGAAUGCAUUCGUACGAAUUGGCCGACACGCACUAUCCCUGAAAGCUCAAUCUGUGGCUGGCAUGGACGGAGUACAAACACGAGUUGGAAAAGGAAUGUGAACCUUCAAGAAACCUAUCUCCACGGUGACUGUUGGGGGGGCUUGUGUACACUACCUUGGUCCAGUACCUCAACUUGAACUUCACGUACAUUUUGGACCUCAAUUGCUAUAUUCUGACGUUUGAAUGAAAAUAAUAUAAAAUCAUAACAUGAUUUUUCCGGACAAAAUGAAUAUGAUCAACAUUCCGCACUUGGUCAAGUUUGACAUGUAAAUCUAAUUAAGGAAUCCUAGAAGGAAUCCUAGAUGGCCGGGGAAUCUUGUGAAGAAAAUAUAGCAGUUGAUCAACAACAUACUAAUGAUUUACCAUGAAAAGAUUGUUAAGGGACUGAGAUAGCUGAACUUAAGGAAUUUCCUAAAGAGAACAUAUGGGUUAGUUGAAGCAAUUGUUCUUCCGAUUGAGCAUCCUCGUGGAUAAUAUGAAAUGGAAAGAAUUUACAUAAGGUAAUAAAUAGAACCAAGAAUAUUUUAUACGGAGGAAGCAAAUUAUUCUUCAAAAGAAGUGUUUCGAGAAAAUUAUAACUCAGAUAAUACUUAUCUAUCUUGUCCAAAAAAAAAAAGAUAAUACUUAUCUACGACUCUACUAAUACUUUGCCAGCAUCAUCAAAAUCCCGAAUUUCAUCAAUCAAGUACUAUUCUCUACACCAUAUGCAAUUUAGAAUAAUAAAUAAAAAAGAAACCACAAUUUUGAGUAGUAAAAUUUUCCUUUAUUUACUCAAUUUCUCUCCUUCAGCAAUACACAAUUUUUUCUAUAUUACAAAUAUCGAAUGAAUUCGCGUUUUUCCUAAAUGUUUGUACAUAACAGGUUAAACUCCUGAAUUCAGUCGCUUAUUCCGAAUUUUCCAAUUGUUUUUUUUUUUUUGGUCAAACGAAUUUUCCAAUUGAAUUGGAGAUAAGAUAGAGACGACAUCUCCAUCACAUUAUGGAAAAGCAUUCAUCAAUUAUUUUUCUCAUCCAUCCGAAACGCUCAUCUUUCCGAUUCUUCAAGGCCAUCAUGACCUCUACCUUUUAGAGCCAAUGUGGAACGCAUUGCUUGCCAGCCCAAAAGGAAAUGGAAAAAAUUCAAAGCACCGACACCAUCAGUGCGUCCCAGGAACGACCAUGUGAAGUAUCUGUCCUCUUAUAGAACCGUGCAGCCGGGGCAUCAUUGAAUCUAGAGAUCAACAUCCAUAGGUUACUAUGUAGCAAAUAGUAAGUCUCCCGGUAGGGAACCAUUCGGGAAACAUACAAUAAAUGUUUUCACAAGAAAAUGAAGGAUGAGAAGCUCUCUUGACGUGUACGUGAAGCUAAGGUUUAUAAAGUUUAGGAUUUUGUCUUUUGUGGACUUCAAUCUUUGUGGCUGAACGUGUGAAUCUUUUUCUCUGGAAUUUUGGCUAUGCGCAUUUCAAAAUAUUUUGCUCCAGAAGUUAACGUUGCUAAAGCAAUAGAUUGGUGCCUACAAAUAGGGCAUUUGAAAGCUUCAGAAUGCGAAGCUUCACAAGUAAAAAGGAAAAGAGAAGUGGCUUGUCCGUCCGUGAGGGAAAGAAAUGUUCUUACUUCUUUGCUUUAGUCUUUUGGCGCGAUUGUUCCAAGUAAUAUUGGUUUUUGCGAUUUUUUUAUGAUAAACAGAAUUAAUUUUGGGACCUCAUGUUCCGAUUGUUUAUAAUAUUUCUGGUGACAAUUUGCAAUUUUUGAAAGGAAGCAAGCAACACAAAAUAUGAUCUUAAAUUGACGAAAAAAGAGAGAAACAAAAAGCAAAAUGAGUUGGGUGGCCACAUGUCUACACCUUAGAGGCUCCCUCCCCAUGCACCAUUAAUGAGUUAUAAAUAUAGACAUCAUUCAUAUUUAAUUUUAGUUAAGUUUACAUAUUGGUAUUUCUAUAAGUUGAACACCAAUCAAGAUAUAAUUAGAGGUAAUUUUUUCCAACUAGGUACAGAGGAAAAAGUGACAUCACUUAAUAACGAGGAAAAUCACUUCAAAUUAGAUACAUUAUAAUGACACUCUUGGGCUACAUGCAUUUGGAAGAAGAAUGUGAGAUCUCAUUCUUACAUUUUAGGGAAUGUUUCAUUCUACCCUUCAUGACUUUGAAUUUGGUGAGUGUCCGAUCUUGAACUUCAAAAAGCCACAUCCCUCUUCCAUCUAAUCCAAACUUGUAUUUUGUUAUGCUCAUUAACACCACUAACUUUUUUCCAUUAACAUGAAUGACACGUCUUUUAUGGGAUAAAUAAGAUAUAUAUCUUAUAUAAUCUAAAAUGCUUUUUUUGAAUGAUAUACACCUUUUAUUAAAAGAUAAAUUCUUGAUAUGACGAGCAUUGAUUGUCUAAUUGGUGACGGAUUACUUGUAAUGAAGAUUGUUUUAUUGCGUUUGCGUCACGUCCGUGGUUAAUCACAAAUUUAUCUUUGUGUUAAGUUAAACGAGUACCUAUUGGCUUUUUUGGCAUUGUAAAAGUUGUAUUUACGGAAUGAAUAGUACAGCUCCUUUCAGAUGCUCUCUUUUCCAUCCCCCAUUUGCGUCACAUCUCGUGUCACGUCCAUGGUUAAUUACAAAUUUAUCUUUGUGCUAAGUUAAACGAGUACCUGUUGGCUUUUUUGGCAUUGUAGAAAUCGCAUUUACAGAAUGAAUAGUGCAUCUCCUUUUUUUUUCCAAAAAUAGUGCAUCUCCUUUCGGAUGCUCUCUUUUCCAUACCCCCCUCCUUUUGUCCUUCCUUUUUCUUUAAUUCUUUUUCGUUAUUUUUCCUUUUUCUUUCCUACCGAAAGAACGUACUACUCCUUUGGUGGGUGGCGAGAGGGGGGGGGGGGGGGGGAGAGGCAAGGGUAAUUGUGGAAAAAACCUCAUAUUACACCUUACAAGUCACAAAGGGGUUGUAUCUCAAUUAGAUCUGAAUGAAAAAUGACCAAAACCACUUCAUUCACAGUUAAUUUGGUGAAGGAUGAUGAACCGUUAUUUCGUGAUUAGAGUCAUAAGUAAUGCAUUGAGACAUGUAAUUGCGCUUGUAUUGCAUCGGUCAAGGCCUUUCUCUAUCAUCGUGUUUCGCAAAUGGAAAAAUCGGUCUUUCGAUCUCAUGAAUCGUGGACGCAUCUCUCUCUCUCUCUCUCUCUCUCUUCCUUCCCUCUUUUCCUUUUCUGCUGGUUAUUCCAUGGUGGAACAGACCCACAGUCCCUUUGUCUCAUCGUGAAUUCACAGUGCUUGAGCGAGGUGUAAAAAGAAACGCUCGUGAUAUUUGACCGACUGCUCCCUGGGGGACCUUUGUCACUUUCAGCAUCCGUCUGUACCGCUCUUCUUUCCAAGUCUGCAAAGCCACGGACUUCUUUUUGGCGUGUCAAUGUGAAACACGCUGGUCGCGCCCACAUAAAUUAUUACGUUCCCCCAGUCAGUACGUUCCCUUUGUUCACUCUCAUUCAAGUUCUGUGCAGCAUGUGACAAGAGAUUCCGUAAUUCUUGUCUUCGACGAACAUAAUUAUCAGAAAACAACGUUUACUUGUCGAGGCUACUGUGUCCGGAAAUAGUACGGGUAAUAGUAGGGAACUAUUUGGGAGACGUACAGUAGAUAGAUGUUUCGCGAGAACAUGAAGAUGAGGAGCUAUGAAGUCAUAUGAUAAGCUGAGGUUCUUUCAAAGUUUGUGGGCUUCAAACUGAGGAAAUUAACAUAGAGUUGGCUCAGAAAUAAAAGACUUCGCUCCAAGCCUUUUUGCAUGUCAUGUGAGAAAAACAAUUGUAAUGGUAACUGUGUGACAAAUAUUUUAUUUGUGUGUUAUAAUUAUACCACAUUUACAAAUAAAUAUCUCCAGAGUUGCUCAUUAUAAUAUUUUUUGUGUUACCAUUGCCGUGCUUCCAUGCCCAACAACAAUUGAUGGUAAGUGAUAUCUACUUUUAGAACGAAUUUCAGUCUAAAUUUACCUCCACAUGAUUUUCCAGUGAAACCAUAAAUGAUCUCCUUCUUUUAUUACUAAAAAUUUGAAGACAUGGUAUAAUUUUUGCAAUGCUCAAUUGCUCAUAGCUCAAAGCUGGAUAGUCACGAUGAUUACCUGAUUCGGAAUACUACCCAACCCACGUGGUGGGGGGCAUGAAGUGACGUUUUCUUUGACAAAAAUCGAGACCAGAAAAAGCAUAGUAGAAGAUCUUGCUUACAUAGAUUUAUCUCUCGACAAUAUCACAAAGAUUUAUCUCUUGACAAUAUCUUCCGGUAGCUUUACAAUUACUUGUAUCCGUACUUAAUUUGCUCUUUCGUUCCCAACAACUUUCCUUCCGACUCAAUGAUUCUCCUUUCCAUGACUCCCUUCAUUUUGAGCUUUAUUAGCUAUUUAUUCAGUCCUGCGAAUUCACUAUUAGAACUGAUAAAGAUAAUUGGAGAAGUUCAUCAUUGAUAAGAUUCUGAUUUUUAUCAUGAUAUUAUAGGUUAAUCAUCUUGACUUACACGUUCUUAAUGAUCUAUCACGAACUUUUCGAGUAAGAUGUCGGUCAAAAAUAAAGAAUUUAGAUGAAUGGACAUUCAAGAUUUAACUAUGUGAUCUUUUGAUGACACUAAUCAUUCUCAAUAACCUUAGCUUUCCCACAUGUUUAAUCAACAUAACCUUAGCUUUCCCACAUGUUUAAUCAACAUAAUACUUGACUUGGAGGAAUCAUCUCUCCGUCUCUCCUAGACUCUUGAAAUCAAUUUUGACAUCCCAAACAUAAUAGAUUCACAAGUAGCAAGUAUUUUUUAGCCGGUUCCAAAAGUAUAAAUACUCUGAUUCCAUGGUUCGUUAGAAGUUUCGCAUAUUUUACUAUUUGGUUGUGCUAUAACAAUAGAAAUAAUAGAACAUUUUCUUUAGAUGUGCACGCAAUCACUUGGAUGGAUGGGUUUUUUUUUCCUCUUUAAUGUGUAGUCGAGCCCUUUCUUUUUCACCGAUUUUGAAAAAGGAGGCAUUGAUGGUUGCAAUUACUAAGCUUUAUUUUCUAUGAGUGUAAGUAAUUUCUAGAAAAUCUCAAUUCCUCCAAUGACAAUGUUUAAAUCCCAAGGAGGUUAGUUCGAUAUGGUGUGCUUUGCUAAUCUCUGCCCUCCCCUUGCAUUUCGCAAUACAAAUGCAACCCUUUACGUGUUUAUUCCUUUGCGAAACUCAAGCAGUCUCUUUGAUUAUAAUACUUACCAAUGGCAGCAUUGUUUCUUACACGAAAGAUUAGUUUCGCAGAGCAAAGGACGUAGCAAAAAUGCGAUUCCUAAUCCUGCUCUUGCAUGCAGUGAUGCUUGCUCCUCUUUAGAAAUUACUCAAAAUUUUUUUUUUCUUUUUAAUUGUGUAUAAUGUGAUGGUGGAUUGUCCAUUAAUAGGGGGCUUUUUAUUUUCGUGGUUGAUCAAGUACCACCGAACAUGAGAAAAAUUAUUAUCGAAGAUGACAUGGUGCCUGCAUCGCUGAGAUAUGGCAAGUAAUGUGGGCUGCUAUACAACAUAUAGACGUUCAGGAUUGAGACCUUGCGAUGGCCUCACCAAUUGCUGCAUGAAGUAAGACGCCCGCAUCCAAGUUUUCAGCCCAAAAUGAAAACCGCAAAUAUUAAAAAGAACCAGAAAACCCAAUUGAAGUUCUAAGGGGCCUAACGGUUAAAGAAAAAGUUUUAAUUUUAGUUUUCAAUGUAAACGAAAAUUUUUCAUUUCCGGUCUUUCGUUCCCUUGAGCAUAUGCUCGGCUUGUAGAAAUAAGAACUUCGUAGAAAUAAGAACUUCUAAUAGGAAUGUAAAUUUAGACCUGUUUGCCGUGCCUUUGCAAUCCGUCAUUAUGCACCUUCUCCAGCAAAAUUUACCCAAUUGAGUUGGAAUUAAUAGAUAUCCUCUCUCGAUGGGAAUCCUACCCCAAUGGUGGUAGUUUACACCCAGAAAACCCUAAUGCUCUUCACUGAAUACAGCAGUCAUUUCAUCUAGUCUCUACCAAGAUGCAAAUCUCCCGUUUCCUUUUCAACUUUGGCCCUUUACCAAAAAUCCCCAACCUUCCUAUAAAUCAUGUUCACCGUUCCAUAAGCUAACCCCAACCCAGCUUCUGAUACAACCCGAUCUCCAUUCUAUAGCAUCACGCCCUACAAGCAUAGGGCAUGCAAUCAAUGACCAUAAUAUCAUCUGAAAGCAACAACCUUGGUUAAUCCUCGCCCAAAUUUCAAACCCAAAAUCCCGACCUACCCCAUUAGCCUCCCAGAACGUUGCAUUGUCUUUGGACAGCAUUUUGCCAUUACAGUGUAUAGUGAUACAACCCCAAGAAUGAAUUUACAGGAAUAGCUGCUUCUAGCGUACUUCUCACAGGGAGUAAGGUGCCUGCCUCUCGUGCAUCUUCAAUGGAAGAAUUCGACACCUCAGAUUAUCGAGUUGCUAUCCUCUGCAGAAAAUUGGGCAAUUUUUGGUCGGAAAAAAGACCUGGCAGAGAUAGAUGGUAUGGUCCCAACUGAGAGAAUACAGAAUGUUGUCUAACUAUGUUUGGGCAAUUGUUCUACAACCCCAAUAACAAUCUCCAAGCCUUCCAAAACACUAUGGAGGGGGCAUGGAGAGUGGAUUCAGUUACCUUGGAUCGAGUAGACUCAAGAACUUUAGCCUUUAUCUUUAAGUUUGGAAAUGAAAUGAACAGAAUUCUUGAGACAAGGCCUUGGUCUUUCUCUAGCAAUCCUUUCGUGCUUAAACCAUGGACAUCGACCACUUCGCAGUACAGUUACAAUUACACACAUUAUGAGUUUUGGGUUCAAGUGCACAUAUUACCUACAGAUAACCAUAAGGCAAAUAGCAGCAGCAGUAGGCUUGGUAACUGAAGUGAAAAUUGAUACAAAGGGGUUUAGCUCCUAUACAGGUGGAAAAGCUAGAGUAAGAACUGAUUUAUUGUCCCCCUUGAAACCUGGGACAUUUGCCAGCCAAGGAGGAAAGAAACUAUGGGUCGACUUUAAAUAUGAGAGAUUACUGCACUUUCGUUAUGCAUGUAGUUGCAUAGGGCAUUAUGCUAAGUUCUUUGAGGAAGAAGAAUAUGACGAGAACUGGUUAGAAAUUGAUGAUCCUAGUUGCUUUGGAAGAAGAGCCCUCUUUGGAAGCUGUUCUAUGCAAAACCAGAGGAUAUAAUCAUAGACGAUGAGAUUAUUCCAGAAACUCCUAUCCCCACCCUGCAAAUGGUGUCCUAUGAGCCUACGGGAAAGAAUCCAUUGGUUCCUAGUAGUGGGAACAAUCUGGGAAAGUCAGCUUAGAUUUUUACUGAGGAGAUAGAAGCAAUUGGAAAACGUGGCAUCAGUCCAUAUAAAAACAAAGAAAAGAGCUUGACGUUGAUAACAACUCCAAACCACUCUACACUGCUGGAAGGCAGCUCAAAAAGGCCCCCAAAAAGAAAUGUAGCAAGGGGAAGAAAACAGGUGGAAACAAAACACAGUGAAGGUAUAGUCCUUACGCUUCUCAAAAGGUGAACUCUCUUGCCUUAAAUGAGACCAAACUUCUGUAGACUCCAAUUCAGGUUUUGGAGGAUCCUAAGAUACGGGCUUCGAUGGUUAUCACUAAUAAGCCAUUGAGGUUCCCAUGAUAAUUUUUUGCUGGAAUUAUUAGGGGUCAGACACACCCAAGGCAAUCUUGCCAUUGAGGUCUGGAAAGGCCCAGCAUUAUUUUUCAGAUGGAAACAAAGAAUCAAGAUUUGUGGUAUGAGCUUGAAACGAAUCCAAUUCCAGAACUGUGCAGUGAUGAAUUCAAAUGGAAUUGUAGGGGGAUCAGCAAUUUUACGGAAUGACAUGGUUGCGCUAACAAUGGAAUCAAUCACAAAUGAAAUGCUUGACCUAAUAUGUACAGAUAGUGGAAAACAUAUGAGAAUUACCUUUGUACAUGCUCCAAUAAUCAGCCUCCAAAACCAGCUUCCUUCGAUUUGGUUUGGUUUUUUUUUUUUUUUUGUUGUGGGGGGGGGGGGGGGAACUGAACUUUGAUGAAAUUUUGUAUCACUGGGAAAAAGUACACAAGCAUAUGGUGGAGCACCAAAGGUCAAUGGCUUUUUGAGAUAUUAGACAUUAUAAAUGCAUGAUCUUUAAUGGAUCUUGAAUGUAAAGGAUGUGCAUUUACAUGGGCAAAUAAUAGGAAUGGGGAUGCCCAUGUGAAAGAAAGACUAGAUAGAGCUCCAUGCAAUGUAGAAUGAAGAGUGACAUCCCAGAAGUGGAAACGUAUGCCUCUUAUAGGCACCAACCAUAGUCCUAUCUUGCUAACUCUCUCAACGGAACCUGCAAAAAGAAAGAGAUAAAUUAAGUUUGAAGCAUACUAGCUUAAAGAUAAUGAAUGUGGUCAGCUAGUAAGUUUAGUGUGGAAUUCUCCAGGCAUGGAAAUGAACAUUUUCUGAAGAAACUACAAGAAUAGAGGCCCUAACGAAGUGGAGCAAGCGGAAGUUCUCUAAUGUUAAUAGUCAAAUCAACUGCUUGAAUAGGGAGCUUUAGGAGUCAACAAAUGAGCUGAGCUUGCAUCAUGACGGACAAAAUGCAGCAACUGAAAAUGCAAUUGAAGAUCUGUGGAAACAAGGAGAAAUGUAUGGGGGUAUGCACUCAAGAAUAUACUGGCUGAAUAGGAUGAUAGAAAUGCUGAGGAAGCCCAAUAGAAUGAGCACAACAUGCUAAUCUCUCGUUUUGAUGAGCAUUUAGUAAAUGAUAUUCUAGCUAUCCCGCUCUUAACGCCGAUGAAGACUAGCUAGCGUGGACAUGCAACCAAGCAGGGGGCUAUGCUGUUAAAAGUGGCUACAAACAACUCCAGGACAUUGAGACUAAGCAUGAAGCAAAUCAAGCCUCAUCGUCCUCCCAAACUCCAAAAGCCCUUUGGACUAAGGCAUGGAAUCUAAAGACAACCCAAAGUAAGGGUGUUUAUGUGAAGUACCAUUCUCUCGUUCUGGAGCUUGGCUCUCUCCGUCUGGGUUCCAUCAACGAAUCUUCAGUUCCCAAAUGCCUCCGAAGAUCACGCCACCUAAGCCAUCGGGUUCCAUCAAAAGACAUAUUUUUAUCUUCAGUUCGCCGCUAUGAAUCUUCCUUCUCUCUCAGAAAUGAAUCUCCUAUUCUCGAUUUUGCCAAUAAAGACACUUUUUUUUUACCUGGCCAAAUGCCCCGAACCAGACAUUUUUCCCCUGUAAUGAAAAAGCAGAGGCAUUCCCACGCAGCCCUACAGAUAAAAAGGACGUACCUAAGUCAGUCAAAUCUCAAGAAAUCCCGAAAAUGCCACACCAAGUUCCCGAAAAGCCUCAUCCAUGCAGUGCAAGAUUCCUUUUUAAAAAAAAAAAAAAAAAAAAAACUCAGUUCAGGAUACAUAGCGAGCAUGGCAACUGGUUUUGAGAAGGGAUGUUUUCUUAUGGGAGCUGACGAAAAAAACUGCCCGUGGUUUUGAGGAGAAGUCACACCCAUCUUUGGAAGCCAAAACACACGAGAAAGGAAGGAAGAGAGUGUAUUCAUACGCAGGAGGGGGAGAGAGGGAGUGAAAAUUUAACCGACUUAUUUUGAUUGUAUUUUCAGCAAUUGCUCGGACGGUGGGGCAUUUGUCUGAGAGUUCUGAGGUUAUGAAGCUUGUGAAAGCUCCUGAAAUGGCUGUUCCCAAGGUACAUUUCCUGUAUCGGUUGAUACUGUAUCCGUUGAUGUGAUUUUAUAAUUUGCAUGAUGCACUCUCUCCUAUGGGGGUUUUGUCAAUUGUGUAUUUGCAUAUUAAUGUUCCUUUUCUUGUGAAUGUUCAUAUUCAGAAUGAUGAGGGUGAUGCUUAUAUUCAAGCUUUUUCUGAUGAUAUGUGGCUGUUGAGAGACAACGGAAACUUUAUCUCCUUUUCGGCUUUAUCAUUUUCAAAUACACUGAUAGUUUGAACCUUCAUGAGUGGAUGAGAGAUGAGAUAAUGGUAUGAAUGACUAUAUCAACAUGACCUUAUAAUGCAUAAUUCAAGAAUAUUAUCUUGAGCAAUUUGGGAAUGUUAGUUCUCCAUUUCUUGCUCACUUGCUGGAAUAUGGCUUGUGAAGUGGGAAAAAGUUGGAAAUGCAAAUUGUGAAAUGUUUUUGUUACUUCUGAUCAGAAAGUUGUGAAAACAAUGGGUUGUGGAGUAGCCUGCAUCCUGCGGCAUAUGAAUAGCAGAGGCAUAUAUUUGAUUGCUGGAUGUAGCUUGUUUAUAUGAUAUAUAGGCUGGUGUGAUGGAAGAAUUUGUGAAUGACGCGAUUGACACAGCUCUUGACACGGAGGACAUGAAGAGGAGAUAGAUGAAGAGGUUGAUAAGGUCUUGACAGCCAUUGCCGGUGAGACAGCUGCCCUUCCAGUGGUAGUGAGGAAGCAAAAGGUGAAGCAAUCUGCUCAACCUAUCAACCUACUGCAGAAGAGGUACAUCUGCUAGUUCCCUUACUGAUGGAACUUAUUUUUGGUCAUUCUUUUAUUUCCCCGAUAGGGAGCUAAUUGAGAAACAAUCACUGCUGCAUUCUUACUUUUUUCAUUUAUCAAUGAAUUUGGAAUUUGUAGGAUGGGCGGUAGCCGAGGGUGUUGAUGAUGAGGAAGAACUAGAAGAAAUGAGAGCUCGCCUUGCAGAAGUUAGGUCUUUAGUUCCAAUUUUUCUAUUGUUCCACACUUUUGACAGCCCAAAAGGCAGGGAAAGGAGGGGCAAACUCUAUUUCGCCUAACAUGGGAGGAACGCGAGUCCCCUUUACUGUAUUCUGAUUGAUGUAGAGGAGAUCCUAUACAAAACUUGAACGGUCGAUGAAACAUGGUGUAAUGAUGUAUAAAUAUGCAAGUUAUGUAUAAACUUGAGCUUGUGGUGAAUAUUGGGUACGUGGGUCGACAAAUUUACCAAUAUUGUGUAACACCUGAGCCAGAGCUUCCAUUCUUUCAACAGGAGCAGAGAUGGAGCAAGUGUCAGGUGAUAGGGGAGCGGCCGCUUGACGAACCUUGGAGCAGCAACAAUAAACGCGGCGUAGCAAAUGAGAGCAAAAGCAAAGAUUCAAAUUAAAUAUUAAGCAUUUUUCAGCUCUAAAUGAAAAACACAAAUAAAGAAAAGAACUAGCAUACCCAAAUUGAAGUUGGUUCAUGAAAAAAGGUUUUAGUUUUCGUUUUCAAUGUAAAGGAAAAAUAAAAGAUCUUCAUUUCUCCUUCUUUUUUCCUCUUGAAAAUAUGUUUGGUUAGUAAAAGAACUUCGGAUAGGACUCAAAAUUUAAACAUGUUUGUGGUGUCUUAGCAAUCCAUCAUUUUGUACAUUCUUUGAACUAAUAAUCCCAUCUUUUCAUUUGGUGAUUACAAAGUACCAUAGCCGGCUAUCAACAAAAAUCGUCUUAUGAAGUAGGAGAUGCCGAUGAAAUUGGCAAUACAUCUCUACCACGAAUAAUGCGACCUGCUUCAUUUACCUUUGAAAGGAAACUAUUAAAACAUCCAUUUUCAAGAGGCAUCUAAACCUCUCCUCUCUGUACAUGCAACAAAAAUCUUGGAUACAGUCAAAAGAGCCUAUGAAUUAGUUGAGUACUCUAGAACUUGAUCGGUAGGCAAAAUUCCAGCCAAUGGCCUUACAGUAGCGUCUCUGGAUAGACAUACUUGACUUUGAUUGGGUAUAGUAGCUUGAAGAGCGAUGCGGUUCGAGGUAGCCAGUCUCUUAGGUCCCUACUUUUUCAGGGCGGAUGAAGUUACUGAUAAGUAGGAAAUCUUUAGCACAAAACUAGACUAAGAAAAUUAGAACAUCACAUACUAAAAGCCAAAACCCUGUUAUCCGAUGAGAGAAGUAAGGCCUUGUACAUGAGAUCUGGUGUCCCUGAUCAUCGAUUCAGUAUAGAGACGAGACGAAGGUACCAUGGAAUCCAUAGGGUGCCCUUUCAGGCAGUCAUUUUUUCCAUUGGCUCACCUUUUAACUUGUGCGCUUCAAUCACAAGAACCUGCAGAUUUCACGAUUUCAAAAUCACAUCAAACGUCGUUACUGGUAGGCAAACCUACUUGAUGAUUGCAUUGAAACUCUUAAACUUAACCUGGGAUACAUCUGUUUCCUCGUUAUGUACCCAAGAGACGAUCCAACCACUGUCCUCUCCGAGACCAUCUUUCUUAGGGACAACACACCUGCUGCAGAAACUGUCCUUCUCGAAAUUAUGGUACCUGGCCUUCAUCAACUUCUAGUGAUAUCUUCCCCUCUAAUUCAAGGUCAAGGCCGCAGUGAGGAACAUUUCGACAUGUACAAUGGAUAAUUAGAAUGACUCGAAAAACUUUCAGUAAUACCUCAGAGGCAGACAGCCCAGGACAAGGUUCGUUGAAGUAUAAUUUCACUAGACCUCCAUAUUAGCCAUUCCUGAAUCAAACGAGUGAUGCAUAAACAAUAGGAAACUGAUCUUAUGCGCUACUUUGGGGAAAUGGACAUGGACUUGAGAGUAGAGACUGGCAUUGCAUUACCACUUUCAGAGCUUGCUCUGAAUUGAUGACUUGAGCAUAACCAUACCCAUUACGCAAGCUAGUGAAUUCGGCAUUUAUGAAAGGGAAGUCUAUAGAGAAUUCAGUGCCCAUAAGAUUCGACUCCUGAACUUCCCCUGUUUCCUUGUUCAAUCUCCACUCAUAGGCACAGGUAAACAGAUAGCCUCCAUGUUUGUUAGCAUUUGCAUCCACCGGUUCUCUAAAGUUGAAUCCUCUCGAGAACCAAUCGAACGUGUUCAUACCCCAAUCGGGACACAGAAACACCACUGUAAGUGAUCUGCAUCUUCUCACCACAACCUGCAUUGCUGGUCAAUGUCAUUAUAGUUGAGGCUUAGUCUAAAAGGAUUUUAAUUUUCAAAUUAGGCUACUAGGAAAAAUAUACCUCAUAACCAUCCCGAAAGCAAUUGAUAUGUGAAAUGUGCAGCUUGAUUCUACAAAAAACCAUUGGACUGAACUCGCAUCUCCAUAACGUAGCAUCACCCCUAUCCUCGGAUAUCUUCCUGGUCAUAUUUCAGUAACCUACAUUCCAAGAAAACGAUUAGCUGCUUCAACAAACUGAAAAACUGUCACCAAGAAAGGCAUUACCAGCUCCUGCAAAUCAAUGCUACAUCGUGAGAUCAACUUGUUAUCUACUGAAUCAUGCUGUAAUGUGCCAGUGAGGAAUCUCCAUGUUUCCAGAGCAGUCUUGACACCAAAACUUUCAUAAAGCAAUUACAACGUCCAGCUCUGCCUACAUUCCUGUGCCAAAACAAAUAGUCCAUUUACACAGGCACUUCACUCCUAAUCUCACAACAGAACCACCUCCGCAUAUGGUUCUCUUCAGGUUUCAUGUCCCAGAUCAAAAUAGCAUCGUUUCUUUUAUCGUGUAUAGCACGAUAUAGUAUAUCUUGCUAUUUUGAACGUCCAUAAUCAGCAUCAAUGGAACCAAUCCACCUUGCACAGCAUAAAAAUUCCAAUGCUUGAAUGAUUAUAGCAUAAAAUCAGAAUAUGUUUUUUCCAGAUGGGAUGAAUUUGAUUGAUAGUCUGGCCUUGGUCAAAUCUGACACGUAAAUCCGAUCAAUGAAUACUCUGGUGAAGAAAAUAUAGCAGUGUAUCAGAACACACAAAUUAUUUACCACGAAAAGGAAUGGUUAAGGGACUGAGAUAACUAGAGUUAAGGGAUUUUCUGAAGAGUACAAAUGGCUUAUUUGGAGCAAUUGAUCUUCCAAUUGAGCAUCCUCAUGUAAUAUACGAAAUUGAAAGUAUCUGCACAAGCGAACAUGCAUAACCAAAUAGAUUUCAAGGGAGAAGCCAAUCAUUCUUCAAAAGUAGAACUUCGAGAAAAUCAUUUUUUGAAGUAUUUGCAGCAGUUAAAAAUAUUUUCAUAUCAGGAAAAAUGAAUCCUGAUUUAAAUAGAACCCACAUUACUCUAGUUCCAAAAAUUCAUAACCUAGAAACCCUUGAUCAAUUCUGCCCCAUUAGUUUGUGCAAUUUUGGCCUAUAAAAUCAUAUCCAAGGUAAUCGUGGAUAGACUCAAAACUUGGUCAUCGAAAUUGAUAGCUCAAUAGCAAAGUGCAUUUAUGAGUGGGAGACUUAUCCAGGACAAUAUCAUGAUAGUGCAGGAAGUGUUGCAUCAACUAAGAGCAAAGAAGAGGAGGAAAAAAAUUCCUAGCGGUUUUGAAACUUGAUACGAAAAAGGCGCAUGACAGAGUAGAAUGGGACUUGUUGGAGGCAUGCUUAAGGAAACUGGCCUUUGAUGAAAAGUGGAUUACAUGGGUUUGAAAUGUGUAUCUUCAGUCUCAUUUAGUGUUAAAUAUAAUGGGAAUCCUCUUCCUUACUUCCAACCUUCCAGAGGACUUCGGCAAGGUGAUCUUUCAUCCCCUCAUCUCUAUAUUUUUGUGGCAAACAUUUUAUCUUUUAUGAUGAAUAAAACAGUGGAGGAUGGCAGUAUCGAGGGUAUUAAGCUCAACUCUUCUUCCCCUACCAUAUCACAUCUCCUAUUUGAGGAUGAUUCCAACUUCUUUUUAGAGUGGAGAAUUCAAGAAUGCCAAUCUAUAUCAGAUGUAAAAUCAGUAUGGUUUUGCUAUUGGACGGGAGAUAAACCUAAACAAAUCAGGAAUACUCUUUAGCUCAGGGUGUCCACAGACCAUAAGAGCCAAUAUGGCUUAUGAAUGGCGUGUCUUAGAACUGGAUAAAACAGGAAAAUACCUCGAAACUCCUUUGGAUUGGGGAGAGUCUAAGAAGAAUAUGUUUUUCCUGGAUACUUGGAAGAUUUAACAAAAAAAUGGAAGGUUGGAAGGAAUCUUUAAAUUCUAAAGCAGGAAAGGAGAUAUUACUAAAAAAACAGUAGCACAGGCUCUUCCUCAAUAUGCAAUGUCAAUUAACAAGAAUCCCCUUUCCAUACGUGAAGUGAUUGAACACAUAAUGGCAGCAUUUUAGUGGAAAAGCAGAGAAUUUCACUCUGGUAUUUUGGAAGAGUUGGGAUUUCUUGAAUCAAAGGAAAGACAAUGGAGGCAUGGGAUUCAAAGAUUUACUUUCUUUUAACAAAGCUUUCUUAGGAAAGCAAGCCUUGAGAUUAAUGCACCAGUCUUGCUCUUUAUGGGGUCAAAUUUUUUAAGGCAUUUACUUCCCAAAAAGGAGUUUCUGGCAUGCUGGGAAAGGGCAUAGACCCUCUUGGGGUUGGCAAAGUUUACUAGAGGGAAGAGACUCAAUCUUAGAAUCUUCAAUGUGGACAGUAAAAAUAGGAGAAGCAAUCAAUAUCAUAUAGGACAGAUGGUUGAAAAGAGGUGUAAUUGGAGGGCCAGUGAGUGAAAAUGACCCGCAACAGGUAGUAGAGCUUAUAAACCACAAAGAAAAUUCCUAGAAUGAACCUCUUCUUUGAAAUAUUUUCCAAGAGGACAUCGCGAAGGAAAUUCUAGCUAUUCCUCCAACAACCCACUCUAUUCAAUACAAACUGGUGCGGACAUAUUCAUCAACAGGAAAUUACUAGUAAAGAGUGGCUUCAACUACAUAAAACUUACCUAGAAUGUCCGAAAAACUCCAAUAGCCUCCUCAUCUUUCCGGGCUCCUCAGGCUUUAUGGAAUAGGACCUGGAAAAUGCAAACAAUCCCUAAAAUUAAUCUCAUUCUAUGGAAUGCAUGUCAGAAUAGUCUGUCCACAAUGGAGAACUUAUACAAGCGAAAAAUAGUAUUGGAUCCUUAUUGCUCACUGUGUAGAGACUAGGUGGAAUCACCAGAGUGUCCCCUUCUCCUUUUGUCCUCGGACGCGAGACAUAUGGGCUUAACCAUCCCUAAACAUUCAGGUUUCUCCCCAGGGUUAAGCAGAGUAGAGAUAAGGCUAAUGCAAUUCCUCAAAAGCACGGAAAACCCACCUUCUUUGGCACUAGUAGCAACCAUCUUUCAGCUUAUUUGGACUUCCCGUAACAACUUCAUAUUUCGAAAGAAACCCCCAGACCCAGUUCAAGCACUACAGGGGAGCUCUAUCUUCUCUCGCCAAUUGCAGGAGAUGGAAUUCACAGCAAAAACUCGGACCUUGACGCUCCCACCUCUUCUGAGAACUGGAAACCCCCCAAAGGUCGGAUCUUUAGAGGUCAACAUUGAUGAAUCCCUUCGUUGAAAGCUCCAUGGAAGGAGCAAUCGCCUGCAUUAUUCGAAACUCAGAAGGGACGCUUGUGGAUGCACACAUAAUUAUCUCACAGCUGCGUAUCGCCCCCAUUGCCAUCGUGAAACCAACUCCAUUGCAAAAGGACUGGAUUUCUUCCCCUCCCCAAAUCUGGGUGGAUUUACUUUGGAAGGAAGCCCAGUUCAGGGACCCUGCAUUUUCAAAUUGAAUAAAAGUAAUCGGUUUAUGAUCCACCAAAAAAAAAAGCGAGUAGGAAAUGUUGAUGAAAUUGGCGAUACAUCUCGACAAUGAAGCGUGACCUGCUUUUAUUUACCUUUGAAAGGACGUGAAUCGUUCCGACAUCUUGGCCAAAGUGCUCUACUGAUCGGAGCGUUAUUUGCAUGAACCGAUGGUUUCUCUGCUGCAGUAGCGCAAUGAACGAUAUUCCAUCAAGUUGCGUCGCCGAACGGCUUUUAGAAUUUAGACGCCUCGAUUCCUGGAGCUCUGUGAUUUCCAGAAGUUCAUCCGAAAUUGACCCCCCCAUCAUUCCGUAAAACCUCCGAAAUUCGACAGGUGUGGUCAAUUUGUUGAGGCCUUGCAGUUGUCCCUCUAUGUAAAUGAGCGUAACACAGUUUUGACUCUCUCCAGGCCCUGAACUUCCUCAAGAUUCCAACACCCUCGAAUGUCCAAUAGUCUAAGGUUAUCGAAGAGCGAGAGGUUCGGUAAUUUUCUAAUGGAAUUGCACCCCCACAUACUUAAAUAUGUCAAUUUUUUCAACCCCUCUAGGCCUUCAAUUUCGACUACAUCAUGGCAUUCAGAGACCACUAAUUCCCUCAGAUCUGUUAAUUGCGAAAUGUUGAGUCUUGUAAGGGUCUGGCAACGAGUAAUACUUAGCACUUCCAAGUUUUCAAUAUGCCAAGGCAUAGAACUUGAAAUAGAGGAUCAUUUAUUAGUGAAGCGUUUAAGUCUUCUAUUUCCAAUUCUCUCAAAGACUCUAGAUGUUCAAGGCCGUUGAGGUUGGGCAACUUAUUACAUCCAAACAAAAAUAGUCUUCCUAAAGAUUUUAAUCCUUCCAAACCCUUGAUUUCCAUCAGCUCACCACAGAAGACGAUGUUAAGGUUCAAGAUUCCUGAAGGAAGCAAUGGGAUGGAUUCCAAAAAUUUGCAAAUUUGAAAACUUAGCUCUUUUAGAUGGAUUAAGUGAGAAAGUUGAGGCAAUUUGCAAUUUUGACAAGUGACUUUCAAAACUGUUAAGUUGGCAGGAAAAUCGCAAUUAGUGAAAUCAAGGUGUUGUUGAGAAGAUAGGUCACUGAACAUUUGUAACGAUAGACCGUCUUGUUCUUGCAAUUCAAAAUGAUCUUCGGCAUGGCAAAGCUUCCCAAGUUGAAGGAUCUUCAAUGAAGACAACCCAUUUAUAGGAACACCCCCCUUGCAAACUCUUGCAGGCUCUGGCAUCUAAUUCUUAAAGUUUGCCCAACUUGCUAAUAGUACUAGGUAAACUACUCAAUUCUUUACACCCAACAAUUUUCAAAAUCUUCAAAUUUUCCAAGUCCCUGAUGGAUUCAGGUAAUUCUGAAAUUUUUGCACAUAUCAAAUGCAAUUCAAUCAAUGAUUUUAACUUCCCAAUUGAACGGGGGAUACAAUCAAAACAAUAAAUAUCUUCAUACUCCCAGGCCCCCCAAUCUUCAUAUGGAAAAGCUAUAUUGCCUAGUAACAGGCGCUGUAAUUUCACAAGCAAUCCAAUGCUCUCUAGAAAUCCUUUAAAUUUAGGGCAAAAUCUCAAGUCAAGAGUUGACAAAUUUACCAAAUGGCCAAUUGAGUCAGGAAGCUCUUGGAGUCUCCAACAACUGCUCAAGUUCAAGGAAGUGAGGCACUUAACAUCUCCAAUUGAAGGGUUGAUUUCCUCUAAUUUAUGGCAAUAUUCCAGGAUUGGUAUCUCUAAACUUUUAAACGUAGAGAGAUUAGGGGUUCUCACUAAAUCAAAGCAAUGCGAAAGAUUGAGAACUUUCAACCUCUCCAUCUACAAGAAAGAAACAUGUUCCAAGAUUAGCAGAUGGAAAUAGAAUGAUUCAUCAUCAAAUGUAACAAAAGAGAAAGCAUUUCUCAUACUUACCUUGAUUGAACUCCAUCCUCUCCAUUCAUGACUGAUAUAACCAUAUGAUAAAUCAAGUAUGAGUAAUUUCUCCAAAUGAAGAUUAGUUGCCCCGAAAGAAUUAGGACAUUCGUCCCACUUUAGCCAUCUUAAUUCAGAAAGUGAAUCCUCAAAAUUUCCAACAUAAUUCACUUUACUCUGAUGAAGGAACUUCAGAUAGGGCAUCCUUUCGAAGCUCCUUCUAUUCAUGAACAUGUUUGAGCCAUUUUCAUCCAGACGUAGUGCCUCAAUAUAUCUAUUUUCUUCCUACAAAAAAAAAAAAUAAGGAUAGUAAAUAUCAGCACAAGGCAUUCCCUGAUCUUGACAUGAAUACAAAGUGUCAUUAAAUAAAGAAUAGCAUACUGCCCAACUGCCUUUUGUUAGCAUACGUCCGCAUGCUAUUGUGACCAAUGCAUUUUCUCUCCACUUAUAGAGUACAUAUGAUCUUUUUAUAACCACACAAUCAUGUUGCAUUUCAAUUUUCAAUUUCAUGCCACAAAUUUUGGUGAUAUCGUGUAAAAUUCCUCCAUGAAAUAGUCUAGGUUUCUUAUAAGAUUUUAUAUUAAAUUCUGUAACUCACGAAGUAUUGACUACCAAGUAUUCGCUCCACUGGAGCACAUAUGGUGUCCCUUUGCAAUUGUGAGAACCGUUAGACUUUGGACAAAAAAGGGUACCCAAUCGGAUUUAUUACAAGCAUUUAUGCAUUCAUAAAGCAUGACAACUUAUUUCCUUUCCGUUCAUGAAAUAUUGUUCAUUUUGGCAUAUGGUUGAAUGGAAACGAGAGUGUUCGGUCAUUUUUUCUCUAGAAGCGCAAUUCUCUGUGUAUUUAUUUCUUUUUCGAUAGACAACUUUUGUGCAAUCGAAGCAGUAUCUUUUCGUUUCAUUGAAAAAUAAUAGGUUUUCAAAUUAAAACGCAACUACGGGAAAAAUAAUUGACAAAACCUCUCUUUUUUGAAAAUUGCUCAUCAAUAAAAAAAGAAAACACAUUACGGCCAAUAAAAAUUGCACAUUCUUUAGGGCACAAAAGCCUAUAAAAGUAGGUUAACAAAAAGUUACAAUUACGCAAUCACAUUAAGGACGUGCAUCUAUAUUGGGAAUUUCAUUGGUCUUUCUUUUUACCUUUAGGUAUUGUCCUUUCACUAUAUACCCUUUUACAACUCCAUACGGAUGUCUCUCUGUUUCCCCAAUUAUCACUUUAUUUGCAUGUUGCGUGACCAAAACUUUCCAGAAAUCCACAGUUUGCUAGAGAAGAAAGAAAUUGAGCAAGGGAAGUUGAGCUUGACUUUUCAAUUUUGGAGAUUCAAGCUCGAAAAGAUCAACA